UUUUUUUUUUUUUUUUUUUUUUGGUAAAAAUGUAAAGAUAUUAUUACCAAGUUUUUUCGUUUUUGACAGAAAAUACAGAGGUUAACAAGAAACAGAUAAACGGAAAAUAAAUCUAAACACAAACUCGAUUUAGCUAAAACGGGACGAAAGACACAAACUACCUAAACCGCUAUCCCCGAGGCUCGGCCAUGUCCACAACAACAGCUUGCCGCAAAAGAAUGAGCCAAGUUCAACCGAGAGUCGGAACCCGGUAAUUUUGGCCUCCCCGAUGAUCCGCUCUUAAAGAUAAUGGCCCAUCCGAGAACAGCUUGCCGAGGCUUAGUAGCACAAACCCACAAGAACAGACAACAAGAGCAGAGGCCUACACACCCGCAGAAACCAAAACCGAGCUUUUAUUAGACCCGAAUACGACCUAUACAUGAUGCCGUUCCGAGCAAAAAGGGGCUGCAACCUCCGAACAUCCCAUACCGAGCCCAACCUGCACACAAUUGCCUCGCACACCACCACAAAGAGCACAAGCAAACCCAAGUGAUGCUGGGAUGUGAGCGAAGACCGAGCUUUAGGAAGAGGCGGUCAAUGAACAGAGAACCACCACACGCUCCUCGUNNNNNNNNNNNNNNNNNNNNNNNNNNNNNNNNNNNNNNNNNNNNNNNNNNNNNNNNNNNNNNNNNNNNNNNNNNNNNNNNNNNNNNNNNNNNNNNAACUGAAAUUGGAGACGCUAGGGCCGUCACUUGCCUCAACAAGAACGGGAUUUGAAACAGGGCACACCAGUACAGAAACCGCAAAGAGGAGGGCCAAAGGUGAGGAAGCAAAGUGAAAGGCCACUCAAGCGGACAUAGACGACCGCUCUUUAAACCUCCCAUAUGACCUACGCGAGCCGGCCACCGAGCUCAGACACCAUCCCGCCUGCGUGCUGAAGCUCACGAACUCGCCGCCGUGGUAGAGAAACCCACCAGCACACACCACGCUAGGAGGAGGAUACUCAGGUUCAAAACCGACGAGAGACACCCUCCGUAGCCGAGAACCGCCUGGGCUAGAGCAGCGAACCGUCGAAACCCAGGAGAGGACACCGCGACGCUCCUCCUCACGAACAGAAAAAAGCAGGACGAGAUCUGAAAGAGAAAAUCGAUCUCCAACCAUACCCCUAAAAGCCGACUGCAAUCUCCACCCACCGCUCGACUUUCUCGCCAUUGUUCCAGAGAAAGCUGCGAGACCACCGGAUCAAAACUCCUCUGCAGCGGAGCAAUUUCCGGAGCCAAGCCCUAGCCCAGAACAACGCACAUAUCGAAGGGAGCGAGACAGAUGGGAUAACAGCAAAACGAGAGAAAGAAACUAGACGGAGGGGGCCUCCAGUCACCGUACGCGCCGCCACGCGCCGUCGGUGCCGAAGGAGACGAAGCUCAAGUUUAUCGUCUUCAAGAGAUAAGGUGGAGAGAGAAAGUUAAGGAAAUUUGAUAUCUCCGUAGCACAAUAUUGUUGACAAACAAAAAGGUAAAGAGAUAUCAAAAGAACUUGUUAACAUCCUAUCAUUUUCUUAAAGAUUCUUUGUUUUUUUUUUCAGCUCCACCGUUUCUACAAAUUGGUACUAUAAGUUACCACUUUUCAAAUAUUUUUGUGUCAUAGUUUGUCCAUAAAUAUGUUUUGGUCUAUCAAACUUGUUAAUUUAAAUCAACACCGAAAAACCUGUCUCUGAAUUAUUUGUCAGUACAUCACACGUUAGUACAACUGUAACGCUUAUAUUAGGCAUAUAGAUCAUGUACUUGCCAAUUUAAGGUGUUAAGCUUUGAUAGAUCAUAUAGAUCAUAUCAAACAUGGUUUUUAAAAAACUUUUGAUUCUAUUAAUUUUUUUAUUGUAUUAAUAUAUUUUUUAUGUUUCUUUUUAGUGUAAACACUCUUACCAGAAUCCCAAUGGACUUGAUAAAGGGAUCAAUCAAAAUAACUCAGAAACUCUAACCUUAACCCAAACCAAACUCAACCCGUGUAGAAGUUCAACAAAUGGAAGACAAAACCAUAAAAAGAUUCUAGAAGCCACACCAUCAAACCCCAAAGAAGAACCGCCGCAAAAAAAAAUAAAACUCUUGAGCCACCACCACUAUCAAAAGCUAAGAAGAUAUAGACGAUAUUUUCCAGCCACCAACAACGAGCAGGAACCAAAAUGGAGAGAAGCCCCGAACCGGCACCGCCUACAAACCACAACCCGAUCUGAGAAAAGCAACCUAAGAUUGCCACAUCAUCAACGUUAAAAUGAGACUAAAUCUUAUUCCAUGCGACAAAAAGCAGAGAAAGAGGGAGAAAGGAAUACUCUCGGAGGAAGGGGAGAUGUCGGGAAACUUCCAAAGAGAGGCAAAUAUAUUGUCCCCAAAUAGAUUUAUUUACCGAAAGCUACAUCUGACCUCCACCGGCUAGCCUACACGCCAUCGCCCCAGACUCAACUUCAUGGCCAUCACCGCUUCACUACACCAAGCUUCAAAACCGGACUUUAAAACAAAGAUGACAAACAGGAAAAAAGGGAAAUGGCCACCGCCACUCGUCCUCGUCAUCAUCGUCACCAAAAAAUGGAAACAGGAAACAGAAAAAUCACCGUCACCAAAACAACACUAAGGUAAGGUCCUGUUCAUUUAAUUUGUCCAUCUGUCAUCAUCCAUUUAGAUGACCCAUUUAGAUAAUUUAGUUAAUUGAUUCAUAUGGAUGUUAUUCAGAGGGUUCGUUUCUCCGUCCAAAUCGUUCAUCUAAAUGAAUAUGUAUUCGUUUGUUCUUCUCUAUUUUCAUCUAGAUGAGUUUAGUAAGCAAAUGACUUAUAUAUCAUUAUUGAUUUAAUCAUAUUUUUUUUUUUUUUUUUUUUUUUUUUNNNNNNNNNNNNNNNNNNNNNCUUUGCAUGCUCGAUUUAAGGUAAGUAUCAUUUUUUUUUUUUUUUUUUUUGCAAAAAAAAAAAAGUAACGGAUGGCGAUGGCGAUGGCGACAGAGACUGCGUUCUAGGUUUUUUAUGGAUCUUCGACAAUGGGAUAUGGAGUUACAAUGGGUUACGCGGCUUCGGAUUUGGACUGUUUAUCAUGAUUCUAAAGGCUUACAUGGGGUAUGGGAGAGAUUGGAGGAUCCCGAAAGAAAAGAUCUGUCAGAUCUUCGAGGAAAUUUCCGACAAGGAAAGUUAGGAAUCAAAGGAUAUUGGGUUGUCACAGAGGAUCGAUCGGGAAUCUGUUUCAGAUUUCUAGGAAAGGAUUUUCACGGUAUUUUCUCUGAGGUUUUUAAUUCGAAAUGGGAUUGGGUUGAUUUGGGGAUUAUGGAAGAUUCUAAGAGAUCUUAUUUUUCUCGGGAUAGGAAGGUUUCGAUUGAGUUUCUGAUGCAUAUUAAGGUCUCUCAGGAUCUCGGUUCAAGUGAUUUGAUUUGCAGAAUCAAUCAGACACGAUUGGAUUUACCUUUAUGGCGUGGAGAUGUGGAGUUACUGGGUUACUAUAAAAACAGGGAAGGAGUAAAGGAAUGGCAAAUCGUUCUUGCUAUCUUUCAUUAUUUCAUAAAACUCAAAUUUAUUGGUGUUAUUGUUCUUUUGGUUUUGAUGGCGCAGAGCCAACUGAUUGGAAAAUCCGGAGAGAUGAAAGGUGUUGAGGGAGCUCGUAAGAGAUUGAAAAUUUCGGUUCCACAUUUUGAUAAUACUAGCCUCAUCAAGCAGUAUGACAAAACUCUCAUUGGCAGGUGCAUGAAUCCGGCGGGGCAGGAUAUAAAUGCUCUCCUGGUGAUGUUGCCAAAGAUUUGGAAGGUGGAGGAUCGUGUGGCUGGUACUGACUUGGGGUUUGGACGCUUCCAGUUUGAUUUUGUGGAGGAGGAAGAUAUUGAGGCAGUACUGAAGAUGCAGCCCUACCACUUCGACUACUGGAUGAUCGCAUUGGCUCGGUGGCAGCCAAAGAUGCCACGGGAUUUCCCUUCGGAGAUACCAUUUUGGAUCAAGGUAUUGGGUGUCCCUCUGGAGUUUUGGGACGUAGCAACUUUUCAAAGCAUUGGGGAGGCGUUAGGAGAAACGGUGGAGGUUGAUCUUGAUUAUGGUAAAAUCAAAGUGGUUGUGGAUGGCCGCAAGGAGUUGUGUUUUGACACGACCGUGGACUUUGUUGGUGGGGAGUUCCAUGGAGGAGAUGAGGCUCUAAUAUCACUUAAGUACGAGAAGUUAUUUGGAUACUGCGGAACAUGUUUCAGCCUUUCUCAUGAUAAGGAGCAGUGUCCACUAACGGCAAAGAGUCCACCGAAGAAGAAGGAGAUUAGGGAGUUGCCUCUAGCCAGACAAGAAGAUAGAGCUAGGAGUUACAAAGGUGUGGUCAUAAAUGGAGAGGGGGAACAACAAGUAAAAGGCAAGGAUCAUAGAGAUUUCUAUGGAAAGGGAAAAGGGAAGAUGUAUGAGGAGCAGGAGUCCAAAUGGGUGAAGGUACCUGAGAGAGGAAAUUUUCGGAAUCAGGGCCACCGCAACAAUCAAAGAGGUGACGAUGGAGGCUAUAGGUACAGGGGCGAUCGGGGUGAUCGAACCAGAAGAUACGGCACGGUGAAUAACUUCAAUGCUGCUAGGGGGGUGCGACGUGGUGCUAGUCCACGAACUGGAGCAGCAGAGGAUGCACGGGAAGAGGGAGAGAUUCCCCAUCAGGAUCACAGAGCUCAGCGUCUUGAUGAUGAACUAUCGCUUUCAAUACCGUUGCAGGGAAACGCGGCUCAGGUAGACGAUCCAAAGGUAAAUUCGGUUCUGGAAAGUGAGGAGAAUGGAUUAGAUGUGGUCAAUGAGUUUUUAGAAACUGAGAAUAAUAAGGGUGAGGAAGAUAGUAUGGAGCUAGGGGAUGAACAGGUUAACCUCGAAGGUGAUGAUGGAGAAGACGUGGAGAAUGCUAGUGGGGAGGAAAACUUUCAGAAUCUCACAGAUGGAGAGGUCGAGGAAAGUAAUGAUCAGAUUGACGAUACACUGGGAGACAUCAAGGAGGACGAUAUUACAGUGGGUGGAAUGGAAGAGAAGGAAGCUGCUGCGGGCGAGGAGGAUAAGAAGAAGGGGGCGCGCAGGGGUCUUAUUAAGCCGAGUUUGGUUGCAGGAGGUUCAACAAAGGCAAGAAUGGUUCAAGCUUACAUAUCCAACCGUAAGCGCACGUCCACUAAACCUGUGAACCGUAAUGGAGAAGGAUCAAAGCAGCAGGAGGAGCAGGGUACCUCAAAACCCAAACCUCAUUCGACCAAACCCUAGAGUUCUAUGGAUUUACGAGCUACAGAAGAGCAGUUCUUUGAGCAUUUGGAGUCUCCUGGUUUUUUCAUUUUAUUUGCAUUAAUAAGCUCUUUGAGCAUUUAUAUUGUUGGUGUUUUUAGUUUUUAUUUGAAUUUGGUUCUUUGUUUGAGCUUUGAAAGAUCGAACUAUAAGAUAUUGAAUGGGAAUAUGACUGGCUUUUUGGUUUUAUGGUAUUAUGUUUGGUACGUAUGGUGCAUUUCUGGUUUAGUAUGUCUACUCUUUCAAAAUUCUGGAAGUGCUACUGGAUUGUUGGUUAGUUUGGUCAUGGAUCUGUAUAUGUGUUUGGUCUCCUUAAUCCAAAUACAUAUACAAUGGUGUUUCACGGUGAUGCAAGUGUUUGGGUGGAGGAGUGGUGCUAUUUCGUUAUCUCUACAUCAAUUAUGGGUUUUGGUUUCUUUAUUUCUACAUAAUAAAGGUAAGCGUAUGGAGGAGAUGUAUUAUUGGAUGAAUGAUUGGUGCCUUGCAAUGAAUAUUGGGUUCAUCUAUAUGGUGUGGUACGGGUUCCCACUGGGACUAAGAGUUUUGUUUUGUCACUUUCAAAAUAUUUUUUUCACACAGAUGGUGCAAACGAAUAUCAGCAUGGCAAUAUAUUUUUUCCUUAUUUGGUCUUUUACUCAAUGGCUUUGGUUAUAUACGUGUUGGAAGAGAGGUCAACACCUGCAGUUUUUAUUGGGAGUGAUACGUUUUAAAUGGUCACUAUGGUAUUGGUUUUCGGUUUCCCCAUGUUGUUGGAGAGCUUGGCGGAGUGCAUUAACAGGUGAUUGGGAGAGUGUGAUGGUUACGAAGUUGUUGGUGUCAUGUUUUUGGCUGUUUUGUAUGGUAUGGUGGUGGAAAUUUCAGGGUCUCUUUACACCCAAAUUAAAUAGCUCUAUAGAGCUUUUGUAUAAUUUUUUAAAAUGAGAGCACUUAGUUGGAAUUGCAGAGGAAUGGGAAGUAAAUGGACAACAAGUUAUUUAAGGGAGAUAUGGCAUAAAUAUAAGCCGGAUUUUUUAUUUUUAUCGGAAACAAAACAAGAUUUUGAAUUCGUUCAAAAAUAUCAAUCACAUUUUGGAUUUGAUAAUUUAGUCACAGUUGAUCCAAUAGGUCGGAGUGGUGGACUGGCGCUUUACUAUAAUAACGAUUAUCAGGUUAAGGUUUUAUAUUCAAGUAAUAGAAUGAUUGACGUGGAAGCAGUGGCUCUGGGGAAAACGGUUUAUUUGACUUUUGUGUAUGGGGAUCCAGUCAAAGAAUUGAGGGAACAAGUGUGGGAACGCUUAACUAGAUAUGGACUUUCAAGAUCGGAACCGUGGUUCCUUAUUGGCGAUUUGAAUGAGAUUACAGGAAAUCAUGAAAAAGAGGGUGGAUCUCUCAGGAGUGCGGAUUCAUUUGUCCCUUUUAACAAUAUGAUUAGGAAUAGUGGAUUGCUGGAGUUCCCGGCUAAGGGAAAUAAAUUGUCAUGGCAAGGGAGAAGAGGUAAAGGAAAAGGGGCAGUAAUGGUAAGAUGCCGCCUAGACCGUGCACUAGCAAACGAGGAAUGGCAUACUUUAUUCCCAUGUUCUCAUACGGAAUAUUUAAAGAUGGUGGCAUCUGAUCAUCGACCUCUGGUGGCUUUUCUCGAUGAUAAAGUUAUACGGAGAAAAGGCCAAUUUAGAUUCGAUAAGAGAUGGGUUGGCCAAGAUGGUCUUAUGGAAUCAAUUACAAUGGGUUGGUCGAAAAAUAGGGAAGGCACCAGAAAUGGUAUAGUGGAAAAGAUUAGUAAUUGUCGUCAUCAAAUAGCAAAAUGGCGGAAAAAUAAUCCACCUUAUGGAAAGGAAAAAAUUGCAGAUUUGCAAAAGGCCCUUGAAGAAGUACAAACUGAUGAUACUAGGUCUCAAGAGGACAUACUGGAAGUAUCCAGGAAGCUACAAGAGGCAUAUAAGGAUGAAGAGGAGUAUUGGCACCAAAAAAGUAGGAAUAUGUGGUAUUCAUCUGGGGAUCUUAAUACAAAAUUUUACCACGCAUUGACUAAGCAACGAAGGGUACGUAAUAGGAUUGUAGGACUUCAUGAUGCAGCCGGAAAUUGGAUCACUGAGGAUAAUGGAGUAGAAAAAAUAGCAGUAGACUAUUUUGAAGAACUCUUUUGUACUACAUCUCCAUCGGAGUUUGACGAUUUUCUCUCGGAAAUAACACCGGGGAUUACUCCUCAGAUAAAUCAAUGGUUAUUGAGAAUGGCGACUGAGAAUGAGGUCAGAGAGGCUCUUUUUAUGAUGCAUCCAGAGAAAGCACCAGGACCAGAUGGCAUGACCGCUCUUUUCUUUCAACAUUCGUGGCAUAUUAUUAAGAAUGAUUUACUAGAGAUGGUGAAUAAUUUUCUGGUCUCGGGAGAGAUGGACGCACGGUUAAACAUUACUAAUAUAUGUAUGAUUCCAAAGACAGAAAGGCCUACAAGGAUGACGGAGUUGCGACCAAUCAGUUUAUGUAAUGUGGGCUAUAAAAUAAUAUCGAAGGUUUUGUGUCAACGGUUGAAAAUCUAUUUACCCUCUCUCGUCUCGGAGACGCAAUCGGCAUUUGUGGCAGGGCGUUUGAUCUCUGAUAAUAUUCUUAUAGCUCAGGAAAUGUUUCAUGGAUUAAGAACAAAUAAAGCGUGUCAAGGAAAGUAUAUGGCAGUUAAAACGGAUAUGAGUAAAGCGUACGAUAGGAUAGAAUGGGAAUUUAUUAAAGCUUUAUUACAGAAGAUGGGUUUUCAUCAGCAUUGGAUUAAAUUAAUGAUGGAGUGCAUAUCCUCGGUUCAAUAUAGGGUUCUUCUAAAUGGACAACCACGAGGGCUCAUUGUUCCACAAAGAGGUUUACGACAAGGAGAUCCAUUGUCUCCUUAUUUAUUUAUCUUGUGUACUGAGGCUUUGAUUGCAAAUAUCAGGAAGGCGGAGAGAGGGAAACAAUUAACAGGAAUUAAGGUAGCCAGAGCAUGUCCAUCGAUUUCACAUCUUUUUUUUGCGGAUGAUAGUUUGUUCUUCUGCAAAGCUCAAAAGGAGGAAUGUCACACUAUUCUCAGGAUUUUAAAAGAGUAUGAGAUGGUUUCGGGGCAACUGAUAAAUUUUGAAAAGUCUUCGAUUCAAUUUGGUCAUAAGAUUGAGGAAUCGACCAGGCAGGAGUUAAGAGAUAUUUUGGGUAUUCAGAAUUUGGGGGGAAUGGGAUCUUAUCUAGGAUUACCAGAGAAUCUUGGAGGCUCGAAGAUUCAAGUUUUCGGCUUUGUGCAGGAUCGUCUAAAUAGUAGGGUCAAUGGUUGGACUUUUAAGUUUUUUACAAAAGGAGGAAAGGAAGUGAUUAUUAAAUCAGUGAUUACGGCAUUGCCGAACCAUACGAUGUCGUGUUAUCGCUUACCUAAGGCAACCACAAAAAGGUUGACGGGUGCUGUAGCACAAUUCUGGUGGAGUCCUGGAGGUAGUUCACGAGGACUGCAUUGGAAAUCAUGGGACAAAGUAUGCGUCAGUAAGGAAGAUGGGGGUUUAGGUUUUAAGGAUAUAACUGAUUUCAAUACUGCAAUGCUUGGUAAGCAGUUAUGGAGGCUGAUAGAAAAGCCAAACACUUUAUUCUCUCGAGUUUUCAAGGGGAGGUAUUAUAGGCAUGCCUCACCUCUUGAACCGAUCCGUUCAUACUCUCCGUCAUAUGGCUGGAGGAGUAUAGUAUCUGCUAGAUCUCUGGUAAGCAAAGGACUAAUCAAACGGGUGGGAACAGGUUCUUCUAUAUCUGUAUGGAAUGAUCCCUGGCUCCCAACCACUCGCCCGAGACCAGCCAACAAAAAUCAACACAAUUUGUAUCCAGAUCUUACAGUGGAAUCACUUAUUGAUCCCAUUUCGCGAAAAUGGAAUUCGCAGGCCCUACGGGAUUUGGUAGAUCCACAGGAUGUGAAAAUUAUAGAAAGUAUACCACUGAGCAGAAAUCAGAUGGUCGAUAGGGAAGGAUGGCAUUUCACAAACAAUGGAAGAUUUACGGUUAAAUCAGGCUACCAAGUAGAGCGGAUCUACCCGGAUAGGGAACGACCACCAUUAUUGAUGGGACCAACAGUUGAUGCUCUGAAGGCUUUUUGUUGGAAAAUCCGGUGUCCACCAAAAAUAAAACAUUUUCUUUGGCAAUUGGUAUCAGGGUGUGUAGCAGUUAAGAAGAAUCUGAAGGCGCGAGGGAUGCAAGGUGAGAUUUGUUGUGCAAGAUGUGGAGCGGAGGAGGAGUCGAUUAACCAUGUAUUUUUCGAAUGUCCUCCAGCACUUCAGGUUUGGGCUCUUUCAAAGAUACCAACAAAUCCAGUCAUUUUCCCAACGAGUUCUCUUUUUACGAAUAUGGAUCAUCUUUUUUGGAGGGUUGUUCCACAGAUGGAGGAUCAUCAGUUUGCUUGGAUACUAUGGUAUAUUUGGAAAGGAAGAAACAAUAAGGUUUUUAGCAAUUUGGAUAUGGAUCCUAAGGAUACUCUAAAACUGGCAGAAACGGAAUCUAUACUCUGGGCAGAGGCACAAGUUUUGAAUGAACAGAAAAUGGAAACUCAGAUACAGGUUACGUCCCUUCCGUCAAUUUCCGGACGAUGGUGUUUUACAGAUGGAUCAUGGAAAGAGGGUGAUAUUUUCUCUGGUCAGGGUUGGUUCAGUACAUUAGAAGGAUUUGAGGGGUUGAUGGGAGCAAGGAAUGUACGGGCAUCUCUAACACCAUUACAUGCAGAGAUGGAAGCGCUACUAUGGGCUAUGGAAUGUAUGAGAAACUUACGACAAUUUCAGGUUACGUUUGCAACGGAUUGUUCUCAAUUGGUGAAGAUGGUUUCAGCACCAGAAGAAUGGCCUGCUUUUGCAAGUUAUUUGGAAGAUAUCAAGAGUCUGAAAGAGAGUUUCAUACGAUCAGAGAUUAUUCAUGUGCCAAGAACGCAAAAUACAAAGGCGGAUAACCUAGCACGCAGUGUCAGGACACAAACGUCUUUCGUCGUUCACAUGGAUCAACAUCUACCAGUGUGGUUUACAGGGUCAAUAUGAGUCUGUAAUGUUGUCGACAAAAAAAAAAAAAAAGUUUAUAUUCUUCUUUUUUUCAGUUGACUGAGAAAAGAGUUUUAAUUCACAUUUCAUUGUACAGUAAACAAAGAAAAAAAAAAAAAAAAAAAAGAUUUAAUCAUAUUUUAUUUUUUUAACUAUAUUGGUUUUUAUUAAUAAAUCAAAAUAAAAUUAUUUUUAAAUAUGAUUUUUGUGGGAAAUAUAAUUUAACGGUUUUAGAGAAAAACAUAUUUUUUCGGUUUUCUUGGGAAAGUAAAUUUUGCAGUUUUUGCGAGAAAAUGUGAUUUAUGGUCUUGACGGAAAACAUGAUUUCACGGUUUGGCGAGAAAAUGCAUUUUUGCGGUCUUGGCAAAAAUGCGUUUUGUAGUUUCUGCGGAAAAAUGUGUUUUGCAGUUUUGGUGGGAAAAUAUAUUUUUGCGAUUUUGGCGGAAAAAUACGUUUUUGCAGUUUUGGCGGGAAUAAGCAUUUUUGUUGUUUUGGUGGGAAAAAUCCAAUGCGUUUUUGCGGUUUUGGCGAGAAAAUGCAUUUAACCGGUUUUGGCAGGAAAUGUGUUUUGAGAUUUUAGCGGAAAAGGGAGUUUUUUGUGGUUUUGGUAGGAAGAAAACAUUUUUUUUUUGUUUUUUCGGCAAAAAUUGUAUUUUUGUGGUAUCAGUGAAAAAUGCGUCUUUUGCAGUUUUGGUGGAAAAUGUAUUUUUCUGGUUUUGACAGGAAAAUACAUUUUUGUGUGUUUUGGUGAAAAAUAUAUCUAAACUUUAAUAUAAAUAUUUAUUAGAAAAAAAGUAAAUUUGUUAUUGUUAUUUGGAUAGGUUCAUUUACAUCCAGAUGCACCGAUUAAACAUAUCUCAAUGAAUCAUCUAGAUAAAUUUUAUUUUAGUCUAAAAAUUUGAAACUCAUAUUAAUGGGUAAUUCAAAUGAUUUGUAAUUUUAAGCGUAAACGAACAACUUAUCUCCAUUUAAAUAGAUCAUUUUUAGAUGGUGAAACAAACAUGCCUCAAACUUAACAUUUAGACCCAAAAAAAAAAAAAAAAAAUGCCUCAAAACGUAGCCGUGCAAACAACCUCACUCAGGAAAGACCGAAGUCAAAGACGACAGCGGAGAGGCGGAAGCAAGAGAAGCGGAUAGGACUAACUUUUUUGGUUGGUAACUAUUUUUGUUUGGAUAGAAGUGAGAAUGUUUUCUCUCUCUACUUCGCCUUCUUAUAUAUUCAAAACAUGUCAUGGGCAAGUUUUUAAAGACAAAUGGCAAGAAGUGUACAGGUUCUGGCAGAACAGAAGUGUUCAGGUUCUGGCAGAACAGAAGUGUUGAUUUAUAUUCUAUGAACGUGGUAGAUCUACAAUUUGAUUUUUUUAUAAGAGAUAGGGUAAGAAUAAGUUAUUCAUAUUAUAACAUUCAUGUGCUAUGCAAAAACAUAAAACAAAGAAGUGAUAGUAGUAAUUAUCCAUGCAGUGUCCAAUAAUAUAAUCAAAGAUGAGAAAAAAAAAUAUUCUUGAUAGUUAAUAUUGGAUAUGAUCAAUUAUUUGUUAAAUCCGGGAUAAGAAUAUAUUUUUUUUGCUAAGAAUGUUAAUAUCAUUAACUAGUAAUGAAAUAGAUUACAAGAAACUUGAAUCAAAAAGCUUUAAAAAACUAGUUUAGUUGAACAAACCGCAAAAAGUUAAAAAAACUUGUAGAACAUAAUAGGACUAAUCUAGUGAACAAGAUUAAUGCUAAGACUAAAGAUGUGUUGCUUUGCACUAUACACUUGAAGAGUUGUGAUGGCUGAACCACCUUAAGCUGGAACCUGCAAAUGAAAUCAUUAUGUCUCAAAGAAGACUGAUAACCAGAGGGCCCCUUGGGUGGGAGGCUGCAAUUGCAUUAGCCAGAAGAGGUGACCAAGCUCUGCAUCAGCCCAUACAACACUACAAACUCCAGAAAUACCAACAACAGCAAGCCUUGAGAGACUCUUGAGCUUCACGGUGUGGAAGCAGGCGGUAGGGAAACUACAUAAACCGGCCACAAACCAAGUCGGAAGACUCGACGAGACUUAAAAGAAAGACAGCUAACAUCUUUGGGCAGCCAUAAAACAAUCAAAUGAUUUUAGGACAGUGAGAGGCAGAGCUCUCAAAUCAGGCGAGAGCUACGGCGAAGGUGAGACGCCACGGCGGCUAAGAUUGCUCAAUCAAAAGCUAAGCUGCAUCCACCUCCCAAUGUUCUAUGAAGUAUGUACAUAUAUUACAUAAACCCAUCAAGAGCUUAUUGAAACGUGUAAAAAAACUGACUUAUGCUGAAUGUGGAUAGUAAAAUAACAUAGUUACAUACGGGAUCCUCCGAAUGAUAUUUGAGUAUAUACUAGCAAAAAUGUCAUAUAGACACAUAUAACUGAUCAUAAGAACUAACACUAUAUCGAUACUAGAAAGUCAAAUCUUCAGUAGACGUCUAUCCUUUUUGGAGAUUUGAACUCCCUUCUUCAGAUGGUGAAACAGAAAACAUCCAUCACUCACUCAUUUCCGGUCAACGGACUAACUAUUGGCGGGAAAAUCAUAUCAAGAAAGGAAUAUGCGAUAACCGAUCCGGUUUAAACCCGGUUCAAAAAUCUAAUUUAAUAUAAAUACCGCGUCUUAUCUCUUUCCAUCAUCAUCUUCUUCCUCUGCGACUCUGUUCUCACCACACACACACACAACCACCAUGCUUUCCCUCACCGCAACCACUCUCAAACCCUCAAUCCUCUCCCUUUUCACCAAACCCAAACCCAACGGGCUAUCUCCCCACCCAAUUACCCGACCCGUUAACCCUUCACCCUUCACCGUCAGCGCCAGCUUAAUCCCCGCUUCGAACCGCCAAGCCCCAGCAAAACAGAACCUUUACCAACCUUUACGCCAUCCACCGUCCCCAAUCCCUCCAAAGUUCCGAUCUUUAGACACCGCCGGGAAAAUCGAGGUCCUCGCCGACCGCAUGGGCCUCUGGUUCGAGUACGCCCCCCUCAUCUCCUCCCUCUACACCGAAGGCUUCACCCCUCCCACCAUCGAGGAGCUCACCGGAAUCUCCGGCGUCGAGCAGAACUGCCUCAUCGUCGGGGCUCAGGUCCGCGACUCCAUAGUCCAGUCCAACGCCAAGCCCGAGCUCAUCGCCGCGUUCGAGACCGGAGGCUCGGAGCUUCUCUACGAGAUCCGUCGUCUCAGCACGGUCCAGCGUGUUGCCGCCGCUGAGUACAUCGUCGAGCACGGGUUCGACACCAAAGGAGCGCACGAUCUUGCUAGAGCUAUUAAGGAUUACCCUCACCGACGAGGAGACAAAGGAUGGGAGGAGUUUGAUUACAACUUGCCCGGGGAUUGUCUGUCUUUCAUGUUGUAUAGGAAGAGCAGAGAGCAUAGGAGCCCCUCUGAGCUGAGGACUACGCUGCUUGAGCAGGCGCUUGAGGUUGCUGUGACUGAGAAAGCCAAGAAAGCUGUGGGGAGGGAGUUGCAUGGAUACAGCGAUGAGGAGAGGGCUAAGGAAGAGGAGGUUAAGAUCAUUCGCGUUCCUGUGGUGAGGCUGAAGUUCGGGGAAGUGGCGGGAGCGAGUUCGGUUGUUGUGUUACCGGUGUGCGAAGCUGAGGAAGGGGUGGGGAAGAUUAGCGAAGCUCCGAUGGAGUUUGAGUCGGGUGGGGAGUUUGGUGUUGUGGAGGCUGAGAAGGAAUGGAGGAGAUGGGUGGUUUUACCGGGUUGGGAUCCGGUUGUGGCGGUUAGGAGAGGAGGAGUUGCGGUUUCGUUUAGGGAUGAUAGGAAAGUGUUGCCGUGGAACGGGAAAGAGGAGGCGGUAAUGGUGGUGAUGGAUAGGGAGAAGAAGACGGUGGAGGCUGAGGAUGGGUACUAUUUGGUUGUGACUGAAGAUGGGAUGAAGUUGGAGAGAGGUUCGGUGUUGAAGGAGAGAGGAGUGGAGGAGUGUUUAGGGAUGGUUGUUUUGGUGGUGAGGCCGCCUAGAGAUGAUGAUGAUGAGUGGCAGAUAAACGAUGAUGAAUGGGACUAGAAGAGUGAUACAUUUGAGAAUACUAGUGUUACCAAGUAACUUCCAUUAAUACUAUACUCCAUGUUUUUGGCAAAUAUGUAAUUCUUGGUUUGAUUAUGUCAUUAUGUUUUUCUUACAGCCUCUGUCUAAAUAUGAUGAAAUGUGAUUCUCACCAUAGUUUAGACUUGAAGCUACAUUUUUUGUGUAGCUAAGAAUAAGUAGGUGGUGAUUAGAGAUAAACAUUGCAGCUUCUACUUGCUUGAUAUGGCUGAUACAAGUAUGAGCUGGUCAAUAUUUCUUACACGGUCAAUAAGUGUAAGAUAGUUCUUGGUUAGUGUAAUCAAGCCGAUCCUUUUAGAUCAUAGACUCUGUUAGGAGAGUGUCUAUGAGCGUAUGAAACGUUUGUGCAUAGUCAUCGCCAAUGCUCAGGCCAUUUUGAUUCUCUGCAGUAACAAGGGGACGUUCCUGCCUCCAUCUUACCAGCAAGUACUGUUGAAGUAUAUGUAAGCAGCUCUUCAUGGUCAACACUUGAAGAGAAUGCCUGCACAGGAUUUUUGAAUAAAGACAUUGUGGUUCUCCCAGUUUGGGGAUUUUUGCUCCCUUGCCUUUGUUUACUUUUAUUUUUCAUUGAUUUAAUGACAAACAUUUAAAAACAUUUAUAUAGAACCGUUUGGAAAGAGACUUUCUUAUAAUUUCUCACAAGAGAAAGAAAAAGGAACUAAACAAGUAUAACUUAAACCCCAAAAAAAAAACUGAUUAUAUGAAAAAAGAAACAAAAAAAAAAGGAUGAAGUGAAACAGAAUCCAGAAAAAGAUGUCAAAGUUUACUAUAAUAUUACAGUGAACCAAGAAAACAAAAAAAGCAUCACAGUCUAGUUUUGCCUCUCUGCCAUUGCAAUGAAAUAUCCUUGGGACAUUGUAUGAUAUGAUUGAUUCAUGCUCAACUUCACUUUCCAUCAUAAACCUCUACACACCUUCUUCAGAAACUAGUGUACUAAGCUGACAUUUACUCAUAGUCCCCAUUUUCUGAUGACCCAUUUCCUCUCAUUCCUGACCAACAUCACAAUAGUACAAACACACAAACAAAAACACUCUUACUAAAGCUAAAAGCAUUGCUAAAAAGGAAAAAAAAAAAAUACAAAUGAAAAUAAACAAGUGGUUAGCUUUCUUAUUACCUGACAAAUCGUAACCAGCACCGCCCCAUUCAGAAGGCCUGGCAUGUGACAUGUGCAUGCCCUGAGGUGGUUGCAUCAUGAAAUGAGCUCCACCACCCAACGCACCACCACUAGUCAUAGUGUGAUGCUCAUUGUUUAGAUUUCUUCCGGAAGAUUCCAUACUUGGAUGAUAGACAUGCAAAGAUUCCGUGCCAGAAGGAGAAGGCAGCAAGCUUCCACUUCCUGAAGCAUCAUCUCCUUUCACAUCAUUUCCUCCAUCCUUCUUUUUCUCUAGCUGAAAUGUACCCACAAUCACCUGCAAAAGGAAACCAAAGACAAACUCAUCAAACUUGCAAAUAAUUAAUGAAUCUCCUUUCUAAGUUCAGUAUCUGGUAUUAAUUUAGUGGUAUAAGAUAAGAGGAAAAGUACUUGAACUGGACCAGCAGCCUUAAGGAGUCCCCCAACUCUUCCACCGAUGAUCUGACCAUCUGAACCAGAUAAACAAAUGCUAAGGCCACCAGUUUUCCCACCGUGUUCGCUCCGAAUAUAAGAUCCACUCAGUGAGAGGAUCUCGUAAUGACCCUGAAUACAAGUUUGUAAUUCUUAAACAAGUUAAUAAAAUUAUAUGCAAAUCUCACGCAUGUGUGUAAGAAUCUUUAGCUGUAAUGUAAGUUUGAUUGUAACAAAACCGGUAUAGACUUCUCAAAACACAUAUUGCACUUGACACAAGGUGAAAUUAAAUAGUCCCAAAAAGAGACCAGUUUUAUAGGCUCUAUUUCUCUAAGAUACAGUGAACAGAGAAUUAAUUCAUCAUCAGCUCAGAGAAUUAAGAUAGCCCUUCCCAAAGUCCAAUCCUUUUUGUAGGAACAAGAGAAUCACCUGAUAAGAUACACUGGUUCCUGUCGCGAUGUGAGACAAGGAUGCACUAGAGAUGGCGCCAGAUGCAGAAAGGAUGCAUAUCUCAUGCUUGCUUUGCUCAGCGAAAAGUAUAAUUUUCUGAGCCACAUCCUAUCAAAUAAAUCCAGUUUGUAAUACCAUCAGUGAAACAGCAGAAUACCUUAUGAACGAGCUCUAUAGCAAAACCUGAAGCUGGAUUGCGUUUAAAACCAAAUCAUAAUAUCAAAACCAGGCCUUCAAAUUAGUACCAUAGAACAACACUCACCUCACCAGGAGUUAUACUAACAAUGUGUGGAGUAAAACUUUGCCCAGUUUUCCCUGCAACAAGAAACAAAAAAACUAAUAUGAAACUCAAAAAUAACAACAACAACAACAACAAGAGAACACCACUCUAGAAGGUAAACUGGUAAUCAAAGUGAUCUUAGAAACUGAUUUGAAUAAGUCAACAACAAGAGCAGAUCAAUGUUAUUGCAAAACUGAAAUGAUGUGUACUGCCACAAGCUCAAAUGUAAACAAAGGCAGCAAAAUAAUACAAUAUAAGAAAACAAGAAUCUACCAAUUCUUCAAUGUUUAUGGAAGCAAAGAGAGUGUUUAUGGAAACACAAGAAUAUAAAGAAGAGCUUUAUUACCAAAACUAAAGUUAUUUACUUCGCAGAUCAACCCUAGGAAGGAGAAUCUACACUAGAUUAUCACAUAGAACUCGAGCGAUUUCACGAUUCAAGAUCAAUCUCACCAUAAAGUUCAUUACUUUACACAAAAGCGAAAAGGGUUUUCAAAAAGAGAGAGACUUUACGCACCGACAUAGCCCGAGAGGCCCUUUCUCGACCCGGAUUUAGACGGAGGAGGCGAUACGCCGGCGGCGGCGGCUUGCUCCCUCCUCUCUCUAGCGGAGGAAUUGCUAGCGGAAGACGCCAGUUUCUUAGCGGCCAGGGCCUGAGCAGGCGUAUCGUACUUCCUGGGACGGCCUCUCUUCCUCUUGACGGGAUCAAUCGGAGCCGUGACGGCGGAGGAGGGAACGGAGUGAGGGUAGACAGGGAGAGAGGAGGAAGAUCCAUCGUUCGACGGUGGUGGGGAUGUCAGAUUACCAUUGUUGGUGGAGGUGGUUGGCGGUGCGGCGGAGACGGUGGUGGGAUUGUGGUGGUGGAAAGGAUGGUAGUAAGGAGAAGUGAGAUGGUGAUGGUGAUGCUGCUGCUGCUGCUGCUGCUGCUGCUGCUGGUGGUGCCUUUCGUUAGGUUCCAUUGCUUUUUUAGAUAAGAGAGGAAGAAAAAAAUAAAAAUUGUAUUUUUUUUUCUUUUCUUUUCUUCUCUUAAUUUUUCUUUUUCUUUUAGGGUUUUUAUGCUUUACAGAUUUUUUUAUUUCUUUUCCUAUAAACGAAAAGGUUGUCGUGUUGUCGUCUUCUGGGGUUUUGAUGUGUUCUCAGCCGUUGGAUUGUACUUUUGACUUCAUUUGUUGACUUUUUGUGUGUUUCUUCUUUUUGGUUUAAGUUUAUUAAUUAGGGGUAAGCUGAUCUUAUCAUUAUAUCUUCUUUAAUUCUUCUACUUUGUCAUUUCCAGUAGGCCUACCAGGCUACCACCACUACCUACGGAUAGGGUGGCUGGACCAUUUCUUGUUUGGUUCAUUUCGAUUCAACUCAAUUCAGAUUUGGAGGUACAAAAAAAGUGUGUGGACUGUGAAGGGGUUGUAACAUCAUACUAACUUUGGUGAUCAAGCAAGCGGUCAUAACCAGUGGCUCUAAUGGUUUAGUGUAUCGUGUAUUACACUUUUGACGCCUCGAUAAGAUUUUAUCUUAAAAGAUCUUUUUAGUUUUCAUAAGUAUUGUUAAUACCUUUGUUUUCAAAAUAAAGAUUUUAUCUUAUAAGAUUUUUUUGGUUUUUACAAGUAUUGUUACAAUGUAAUCCUUCGUUUUCAAAAUAAAGAUUUUCUUUUAUAAUAUUCACACAUAUUCAAAAUAUAAAGAAUGUUUAUAAUUAUAUUUAUUAUGUAUUUUUACUAUGCACUUUCAAUAGCUAUCAAAUAAUUUGGCAUGAUUAGUUCAAUUGUGGUUGUAAAAUUUACCUGUAAAAUUUUAGUCGUAAUUAAGGGGGGCUUAUUGUACUAAGGAUUUGGAAAAAUACUAGGGAUUUCGUAUAUGGUGGGAUUUAGAUGGGAUUUAAGUGAAUCUAUUUGGAUUUUAAGGAUUUUAUCAGGGGUUUUUGUAGAUUUUUUUAUUAAGGUUUUUGAUGUAUUCAAAUUUGUUGUACCAGUAAGCUAUAGGUUAUAGAUAUUUUAAAAUAAAAUAAACUAGAUUCUAACCCGCACAUCCGUGCCGGUAAAAAUUUCAUUUAUAGAUAUUAAAUAUAUAUUAUUUUGUAUAUAAUAAUUUAUGAUAAUAUAUUGCUGUCAUUUUAAAAAUAACUUAAUAGAUGAUAUAUAGUUCUAAAUAUUAAAAUUUAACAUAUGUUAACAAUUUUAUUUUUUGUAAAAAAUUAUUACUUAAUUUAUGAAUAAUAAUCAUUUUAAAAGGUGAAUGAUAUUUUAGUCACUUUAAACGGUGAAUGAUAUUUUAUUUAUUUAUAUUAAUGAAAGUAUUUUUCAAAAUAUAUUGGUUACCAAUUCAACAUAAUUUUAAUAUGUUUGCACAAAAAACAUAAUUUUAAUAUGUAAUUCAUUAAUUACUUAUAUUUUAAUAUAAUGUAGAAUAUACUUAUAAAAUUUAUAAAAUUAACAUAUAAUUUCAUUAUUUUGUUUAUAAUAAAAAUUUAAUUAAAAUUAAUUUAUAAUCAUAUUAUACUACUAAUUGUGAAAUUAAUAAGUGUAUUAAUUAAAAGAAUAUUUAAACUUUUAACAAGAUUUUGUUAGAUUUUUUUCAACAGAUUUUGUUAUUCCUAAAACUAAAAGUUAAAUUUAUAGUUUAAAUAGAUUUGUUAUUAAUAUCCUUAUAAUUAUUUAGAAAUGAUAUACAUUAAAUAAACUAAUGUAAACAAUAAAAAAAUUAUUUGAAUAUAUGAACAUAGACUUCCAGUAUGACUAUUUUGUAGUAGAUAAAAAUGGUAAUUAUCUUUUAAUAGAGAAGAUAUUUUAAUAUUUAAUUCAUAUAUUACGUCUAUUUUAAUAUAAUAUAGACAUAAUUAUAAAAUUUAUAAAAGGUUAGCAUAUAAUUUUAUUUAUCUUUGUUUUAUAAUAAAUUUGUAUUUAAAAUUAAUUAUAAUAAUAUUUUAUUACUAAUUACAAAAUUAUUUAAUUUAUUAAUUAAAAGCAAUAUUUAAAAAAAUUAAUUAGAUUUUGUCAGAUUUUUUCAACAUAUUUUUAAUUUAAUAUCUUUAUAAUUAUUAAAAUUUUAGAAAUCUUAUAUAUUCAAUAGAUUAAUGUAAAUAAUUAAUAUAUAUGUAAUCAAGGAAAUAAACCUAUUAUGACUUUUUUGUGGUAGAUAAAAGUGGUACUUCUCUUUUAAUAGAGAAGAUAUGUGAAAUGUGUGAUGUAUAUAUAAAGUAAUUAUUUUUACCGAUUAAAAUAAUUUAUAUUUUAUUUUUUAUAAAUUGUCAAUAUUUACUGUUAUUUAAAAUGUGAUAUGUAAAUAAUAUUUUUGUCAUUUAAAAUAUUUCAUAAUUUUAAAAACAUCCAAAUUAAAUUAAAAUAUUAUAGAUAUUUUUAGUAUGAUUAUCUAAUUUAUUUGAUAUUAUAGAUUAUUUUAUUUUAUAGAUUCUAUAGUUUAUAAAAUUUUUAUUAUGAUUAUCUAAUUUAUUUGAUAUUAUAGAUUAUUUUAUUUUAUAGAUUCUAUAGUUUAUAAAAAAUGUAGAUUUUUUGCAUAAAAUACAUCAGAAAAAAUUUUCUUUAAUUUUUUUUAUUGUGGCUUUAAAAGUAAAGAUAAAAUAUAAUUGGUAAAAAUUAAUAGAAACUUGUUGUAGAUUUUAACUUUUAAAGAUAAAGUUACAACAUGAUUGGUAAAAUUUAAUGCUUUAAAAAUAAAUAAAUCUAAAGUAGAGAGAUAACCCAACCAAUCAUCUCCUUGAAAUAUUUUCAAUUUGUUUUUAAAGUGUACAAAAUCGUAAAACAAAAAAAGUUUAAAAAGUUGUGAUUUGUGAAAGCACCUAACCAACUGUAAAUCACAUUAAGUAUAUAUAGGGUUUAGUUAUUAAAUUCAAUUGUGUUCAACACCUAACAUAAUCUACUUUAAGCAAAACCUUAUGGUUUAGGAUUACAGCGGAUACCAGACGAAGAUUUAGUCAUUUAAUUAUCUUGUUAAUGUCUUUAGACUCUUUACCGAGACAAUAUAUAGUAUGAUCUACUAAGCAAUGCACACCCAGCAAGAGUUCUUGACUCUAAAAUGGCUUUUAGUUUUAGAAGCCAUUAGUUCUAGAGAGCUAAUACGCAAUGGAUAGAAGACUUGUUCACUAUUUGUCGAAGGUCACGGCAGAUAAACGGCAAAUGAUAAAAGAAAAAAAAAAUUGAAAGAUCGAUACAAUUAUUAAAAUAAAAAGAGGUUCGUUCUCAGUAGAGUUAAACCCAUAGUUGCAAAUGUAACAACAAGAAAGGAAUGACUAUCCGUGCUCCUUCAGUCCUUGUGCAUCAGCAUAUCGACUAGCUAUGCAUGUGAUUAGAGGUGAUGACUUAUGAGAGUAACUUUUUAAGUAUAUACGCAUGAAUGCAUGAGAACAUUUUCUUUUUUUUUUUGGUAAAAGAACUCGAAAACUAUUAAUCUAAUAAACGCCGCAGUAACGAAAAACGAAGCAGACGACAGAGAGAUCAGAGAUGUAUUCGAAUGCAUGAGAACAUUCAUUGCGUGAUCAUAGUUUCACGAUUUAUUUAGGAUUUGGAAUAAAGAAUUUUUUACUUUUUAUAGAUUUUGUGCCAUUUUGAACAAACGCCACUGGUUUUGAUGUUUUCUCGUUUGGCAUAAACGACAUUUAAUUUGUUUGAUCUGUCCUUUAUUACUACGUAGUUCAUGCAUUAAAACAAGUCUUUUUCAACUUUUGCAUAGUCAUUUGCUACGUUACACGGAAGCUUCAUCGGACGUACGCUUCCCGCUUCGGAACCGGAAUCGGAAUCGGAACCUUGUGGAAGCUUACGGAAUCUCGCUUCCAAAACGCUUCUAAAAUAUUCUCUUUAAAAACACGUUGGAAGCUUACGAUUCCAUUUUGGAAUCACGCUUCCAUUCUUUAAAAAAAAAACAUAAUGUCUUAUAUCAAUAAAAUAUAAAAUUUUAAUUUUAAUUUAUAUAAAAUCCAAAUUUUAAUAGUAUUGAAUAGAUUGAAUAGAAAUAUAAAACAACUAAAAUUAAUACUAUAAAUUAUCUUUAUGCAUUGAGAUAUUUAUUAAAGAUAAAUCAUAUAUUCAAAUAUAUUAUGUCAAUUAAUUAUAAAGUAAUAAAAAUAAUUAAUAUAAUAAUUUAAUUUAUGUGUAUUUUACAGUUUUAAUACGAAAUCAUAUAAUUAUUAUAAAUAUAAAUGAUUUAUUUUAAAUUUAAAUCAUAUAAUUUUUAGUUCUAGAUUUUUUAAAAAGAUUCUUAUAUAUGUAUAUAUAUAUAUACAUACGUUUCCAAUACGUACCCGCUUCCUAAUUUUUUAAAAAAUCUCGCUUCUGCGCUUCCAUACGCUUCCGCUUCCACGUACCCGCUCCCGUUCAUCAACAACUUUUUAUUAUCAACUUUUUAUUAUCAACUUUAAUAAUACUUUUUAUUAUCAUGGAGAGAAGAUCUCACAUCGGAAAUAUGAAAGGGACUUGAGUAAUAUAUAAGGAAUUUGGGCCAAUCCACUAAUUGCCAAUUGGGUUUAAGUUAGAUGCCCAGAAAACUUAUCAUGGUAUCAGAGCCGACCCAAUACCCUGACCCAUUAAGCCGGCCCGGACAGUGGCCCGAUCAUCUCAUUAGCUGAUGGCCCAUAGAAGGCUCAGUUUCGCCGAGAUUGCUAGAAAAAUAAAGCAUGAUUUCGGAGGGAGGGUAUUGGAGAGAAGAUCCCACAUCGGAAAUAUGAAAAGGACUUGAGUAAUAUAUAAGGGACUUGGGCCAAUCCACUAAUUGCCAAUUGGUUUUAAAUUAGAUGUCCAGGAAACUUAUCAAUAGAAAAAAAAAUUGAAAGAGAAAAAGAGAGCACACGAAUUUGUUUAUGUUAAUGCUCUGAUACCAUGUCAAGAAACCUAGAGAAGUAUGAAAGAGUUUCUUGUAUUGAUAAGGUCAAUGACCGCAGGUAUAUAUACAUACGAGUAAACCUAGUUCUAGAGUAUCUUUACAUAAUCAUACAAUAGGAAUAUUUACAUAACCGUCAAAUACGAAUAUAUUCUACGUAUAUAUCCAUAGUACCCCUCUCAAGUUGGAGAGUGAAGAUCAAGAACUCCCAACUUCGGUAGAAAAUCAUCAAACUCUUUACGCCCACGAGGUUUAGUAAAUAUGUCAGCAAGCUGAUCAUGCGUAGAGACAUGUUUAGUAGCGAUGAAACCUUUGACAAUCUCAUCUCGAAUAAAACCUUCAAAAUACCAUUUGUUUUACUUAAAAGAUUCUAAAUCAAUCAAAAUAUAUAAACCAAUAACACCUAAGUCAACUCGUUUCUAAACAAAAAAAAACACUAACUAAAUAAAAGUUGACGAAUUAUACCACCUCAACGAUGGUGAAUCUAGUCUUCUUCUAUUCUUAUAUAGCUUCUUCUAACAGCCUGUAAAUUUCACAAAUCAAAGUGAUUCAGUCACCAGUCCGAAAAAGGAUGAUGAUUUUCGUUGGGCGAUCAUCACCAAAGGCUUUACCUGCUGCUCUCCAUUAUUAAGAUCACCGAGGCAUGAUUUCAUAAGUUGUUUUAGUGGAGAAACAAAGGAAAAGGGAUAAAGAAAGAGAAAUUGCACCCAAUAACUCAACAAAAAACCAAAAUUAACAAACUAGCCAAAAUCACACUCUCUUUCUUCUUUUCUCUUCCUAUAUCUCUCUAGCCUCUCUCUAAAAAAACUAAUUUUGAUUUUGUUUUGGUUAUUUCACAAAUAACCCCAUAAAGAAAGUUGUUGCCAAAAAAAAAGGGAUAAAGAAAGAAUCCCAAAAUAGAUAAAAAUGAAGAUAUUUUAAUAGAUACUUGCGGUGAAUAAAAUCUUGGUAAAUAUCAAACUAAAAGAUAUGAGCGUUAUAAACAAGGAAGAAUUUGCCCAAUAUACAAAACACUAAUGUAAAUGAAAAAUAUAUCAGCGAGUUUGACAUAAUUAAUUUGCUAACAUUUAGGCAAAGAAAGGUCCGGUUUUGUCCUUUCAACGUACAGGUUGCCGGUUACUGGUAGAGAUGAGAUGGUGAUUUAGCAUCACACAAGAAACCGAAAGCAACGUCACCAAUUUCUUUACCAUAUGCAGAAAAAGACAACACACUGUAAAACAUAAUGGAAAACAAAUAUACAGUAUAGUAAGUAACUUCUAAUAGAACAUAAUCCUAUAAAUAAUGCAAAUAUAAUAUAGAUGUAACAUAACAUAGGUAAAUAAUGAACCACUGAAUCCUCCUAUACUCAAACCCCUACUUAGUAAAUCGAAACCCUAGGUAGGAUCCUAUAAACCCAAAUACAAUCAAUAAAUUACUUUUGAAAUCACAUUUACUUGUUCAAUAAAUAAUACAUAGUAUGGAUCUUAUAUAAAAUAGUAUAUAAAUGUAUGUUAUAUUUACAUUAGUUGAGCAUCAUAUGUAAAAUAGUAUAAAAAGAAAUAAGAGCAUUUGUUGAUGAAAAUAACAUCUUUGAACUAGACAUGAUCCUACGUUUGUGAAACAUUCAGAUGAAACUAAAUUUAUAUAAUAUAGAGAAACGUAAAGAAUAGAACACUAUAUCUAAUAGUAUAGUAAUCUUACAUAAAUAACCGCAAUAAAAGAAUACAUACAAUACUAUAAUUCUACCGAAUAUAGUAUAGUCUGCAACUUCAUCUUCUUCACCUCAUCCUUUUUUCAGACAUAAUGAUAUACAUUUAUUGGUCCACCAUUGUUAUUCUUCAUCACCAUAUAAAUUCAAAAAGCAUGACACAUCCAUAUAUUCAUCGGUCAACCGUUAAGCAUUAAUUGAGGUCCCAUUCCAUCGUUUUCACACGACCAUCGUUCUUAGAAUCCGAGGAGCAUCUUUUUUCCGUCAUCGAUCAAGCUUUCGUAAACGGUCUUCUUCUUAACACAACGUUGCCAAUGAAGCUAUCGAUGACAUCUCAGUCUCCUUCAAUGAAACUAUCCACCUUCCCCAAUUUUAGUAAAUAAAAACUUAUGAGAGAGGGAUGUGUGAAAAGUAUAAGGCCACGAUUUAUUGUUUUACAUUAACCAUUUAUUAAUUAAUAUAAUUUUUGUUGCAGGUUGCACCGGUUAUGAAGAAGGGCAAAAUCGCAUUAUUAUAUAAAAUAUAUUGUCUAUGUGUGGAACUUAGGUCAAUUUGUUAGAUAUUGAAUUAUAAUUUUUUUUUGUGAUAUAUAGUGCAAUUUCCCUAUAAACAAAGCGUGUAUAAUGCAAAUACUCUUUAAUUAAUAUAUAUAUAAGUAGUAAAAGAAAAUUGUAACUAUACCCCGCCCUUGUUCUUCUGCUUCUUCCUGGCUAGCGCCUCUCUCUAACCUCUCUCUCUCUCAAACUCGCCAGUCCUAUCGAUUCUCCAGGUAUGUUCCUCUUGUUAACCCUUCUCCCGUAGAUUCAUUUACAGUACGCAAAGUUGUCUAAUUUUUCCUAAGUUUCGACAAACCCUAAUCGCUUCAUAGGAAGAGCUUUAACCUUUACAAUCAAUCUUCCUCUUACCAGGUUUGGUGGGUACAAAUUCAAAAGCCGAGCGAGAUGCCGGUCUCUCUUAAGCAGAAUAUGAAUGUUGAGAUCCGUGAGAUGAUCAGUAGGGAUCCAUGGUACGCUUUCUGUUUAUGGUUUUGACCUAGCGGGAUGCCGAUCUCCCUUAAACGGGAUAUGAAUGUUUAGAUCUGUGACAUGUUGAUCGAUAGACAGUUGAUCGAUAGGGAUCUCUCUUUUGUGUGUUUCAGGUCAUUGAAACAACCAAGACACGUUUUGGGAAUCAUCUUUGCUCUCGUGGCUUUCAUCUGUGUUCUCGAGUUUCUCGUCAUUCCAUCCCAAGGUCACCUGUCUACUAACCUGAGAUUCUUAGUUUCUGGAGCCUGUCUACUCACCUGGGCUUCUACACUCAGCAGAUCAUUUGCAUUCUACUGCAUAUGUUCCCAUUUAUAUGGUCUGUUCGUGGCUAGCUUUCUUCUUUUCUAUCAGGUUUAGUAUCUAUUUUCUUGUUUUGUUUUAAGUGUGCAUUUUGGCUAGAAUUUGUUUUGAUAAUUGAUUUUUUUUUAUUGUGUGUAUGCAGGUAGUGAAGCGACUACCAAAGAAAUUGAGCUCUUCUGCAGUGUUCAUGUACACAACUCUGGUAAAAUUUAUCUGUGUUUCUUUUAUUGUCUCUCUCAUUAUCUAAAUCACUGAGUUUUUUUCACAAGUUCUUUUCUUUCUUUAUUUUUUGUCAGAUUGGUCUUACUGUUGUCAGUCUUCCCUACAUACCCGGUUGGUUUGAAGUUAUUCGAGAAACAUAUGCACUUACACGCAAAUUUAGGAAUGUUGUAAGUUGAAUUACAUUUACUUUGGCUACUGAUGUAGUUUUGUGGUAUGCUAAGCUCCUAUGGUUUUGCAGGGCGAGCUGGCUAUAGUGAUUAAUACACGAUUAUUUGAAACACAAUUUGGAUUGAUUGCUAUCAAUUCAGAGCUCCUCUUGGCGUACGAUGGGUCCAUUGACAUAGGCAUAUCUCGUGUCAUGUCUUGGUUCAUUCGAAUUUGGGCUACGGUUUUGAUUCUUCAGGUAUGAAUAAUUAAGAUUAAUAGGUCCUUUGUUUUUGCUUUGAUUAAGAAUAAUUGAAAGUCAUCUUGUUUGAACAACAUUGUUGUCUCCAGAGCUCAGAAGAUACUCGCCUUGCUGCAAGAUCGUCGGUAUGUGUACUUGUUGUCUCGCCUUUACUGAGGAUGAUCACCAGAUUAAUUAUCCCAGAUCGUGGGUAAGUGACAGUCAGUUGAUCAUGUAUCUAAUAAGCUAUAUUCCCUGAUAUAUCACAGAUGCAAAUGACUUAAUUGUUUUUCUUGCGCAGGAUUCUGAUGGCCAAACUACUAAUCAUGAGGGAUGCAAUUAGAGAUGUUGUAGGACCAUUUGUCUGGAGUUUAAUCAUUUUACAGAUUUACUCUCAUAGAUGUUGGUUACUAAUUAUUAGUCAUUGAACCUUAAUGUGCUUGAAAUGAAACAUAAAACUUAAUGUGGUUGUUCAAUGAUUUUUUCAGUAAAGGAGGAAUUUGUAAGAAGCUAUGGAAAAUCGGUACGAAAGAAGAUGAAGAGGAGACUAGAAACAUCUGUUACUGUUGGUGAAAGUCAUACCCUUGUCUCGCAUUUUCCUGCUCCCCCUAGGAUCAAAUUCUCCAGUGGCAAGGUAUGCAAGUCUUAAAAGAAUGUCGUUUCUGUUAGUUCGGUCGUUGCUUGUGCAUCUACCGGUUAUAUUAUGUGGAUGUGUGUAUAUCUACAGCUUUAGUAUUUGUUGCUUUAUGAUUUAUGAUCAAGUAGGUUGAACAGGUAUAUGACCCUUUUGUUCCUAAUAGCUAUCCAAGUGGCUCUGAGCUUACUGUUCUUUUAGUUGUUUUGAUUAUUGAAGAGAAUUGGUUCAAACCACAGUACCACCAGUUUUCCUCAUCGUUAUGGGAACACUGUCUGGUUCACCCUUGGUUCUUGCCUUCUGAAAUAUGAUUAGCAAGUCACUAGUUCACUCUCUCUAGUCGUUGGACGUACUUUUUAUAUGCUUCACCCCUCAUUUUAUGCCUUACUACAACUCUUACUCGCUAGAUGUGUAACUUGAGAUUAUUUUUCUUUAAUAGAUUCACGUUUCCCAUACUUCCUUUCAUUCUACUUCAUCUUUUCAUGCUUAUGGUGGCAGGGGCCAGGACCUGAUGCACGUGUAGUCUACAUAGCUGGUGCGUUUGAUCUUUUCCAUGCUGGCCAUGUUGGGGUAUUGUAUUAAAUUCCAAGUCAUUAUGCUCAGUAUGUUAUUCAUUUCAAGACUGAGUUUGUAUUUCUUUUGUCGACAUAUCUGAGCGCUAACCUAUAAAUCAGAUACAUAUGGAUGCUUACCAUAUAUGUUUGUCGACUAUUGCAACUAGAAUUGCCUAAAUAAUAUUGAGCGACCAUAUUUAUUCUGCUAAUGUGAACUCUUGUUCUUGAUUUAAUCAACUUUGUACAGAUUCUCAGGCGUGCUAGAGAGCUUGGCGACUUUCUUCUUGUUGGAAUACAUAAUGACCAGACCGUGAGGUAGUCAUAAAACUCAAAUCAUCAUCCAAAAAAAAAAAAAGUCUUGGUUGUGUUGAGAAGUUUAGAUUUGCAUCUUUGCUUAAAAUCGUUAUUAUUGCUGUGCAGUGCUAAAAGAGGAGGGCACCCCCCAAUCAUGAGUAUGCAGGAAAGGAGCUUAAGUGUUGGGGCAUGCCGCUAUGUAGAUGAGGUGAUAUUUGGUGCUCCAUGGGAAGUGUCAAAAAAUACGGUGAGCUUCUCUGCUCUCUAAUUAAUAAUAUACCCAAAUGGCUUUCACGAAAAGCUAGUUUUAACAAUGAUUUGGGUAUUGCAGAUCACGUUCUUUGGCAUAUCAUUGGUGGUUCAUGGGACAGUAGCCGAGAGCGACAAUUUUCAAAGGGUAAAACUAGAUUCAGAUAUGAGCAAGUGUAUAUAGAGACAAUAGAGCUGCGUUGCGUUUUCUAAGAAUAUGGUUGAUGAUUUGACAGAAGGAAGAGAUGCAGUACCAAUUAGCAUGGGCAUAUUCCAAAUCCUAGAAAGCCCUCUUAAUAUCACAACUUCCACCAUAAUGGGGAGGAUUGUAGCGAACCAUGAAGCUUAUCAGGCAAGUUGCUAUUCUUCUUGUUGUUGGUAUACUUCACCAAUGUCUGACACAAAAUCUUUCGUAUUGUAUAGAAACGUAAUUUGAAAAAGGAAGCUAGUGAUGACAAGCAGAUGGAAAAGGAAGCUAGUGAUGAGAAGCAUAAGGGGACUGAUAAGAAUCAAAACACGGAGCGUACCGCAUCCUAUCUCAAGAACUCUAGCGUUGGGUUUUAACCGUGAUGCUUCAGCUAAGAACUCGAACACGUCGCGCCCACCAGCCCAAGGCUCACCGUAGUUGCUGUGAUGCUCCUCACUUGUGGAGGUUGCUAGGCAGUUGAAUCUGAGGAUUGCGAAGAAGAAGGAGAGAGCGGUGAAGCUGGAAGGAUCGCAGGGAGUGGCGAACAUCGUUGUGAAGAUUCGCAGAUUAAUGGAUGAGGGGCUGUUCGUUUCACCAUUUGUCAUCUUCAUCCAAAUGAUUCAUUUGUAUGAUCUAUUGAAAUGAUCCAUUCAGAUUUUUUGUGAUUGUUUGUUUGUCCAUCCACAUAGUUCAUCUAGAUGAAUCAUCUAAAUAAAUUUUAUGUUUGUUUCUUUAUUUUCAUUUCCAUUCAAAUGAAUUUAGUAAACAAAUUACCAAAAUACCCUUGUGUUGAUUUAAUCAUAUGUUUGAUAUUAAUUUUAACUAUAUUACAUUUAAUUAUUUAGUUUAAUAUAUUUACAUUAGAAUUAUUUCAAAAUCAACGAGUUUUCUUUUUGCGGUUUGGGUGGAAAAACAAGAUUUUUCGGUUUUAGCGAGAAAACACAUUUUUCUGUUUUGGUGGAAAACAAGAUUUUUUUGUUCUGGCGGAAAAACGAGAUUUUUCGGUUUUGGCAGGAAAAUACAAAUUUUCGAGUUUUGGCGAGAAAACAAGUUUUUGCGGUUUUGCGGGAAAACACGUUUUUGCGGUUUUGGAGUGAACCACAUUUUUGUGAUUUUGGCGGGAAAACGUAUUUUUGCAAUUUUGGCGGGAAAACGCGUUUUUGCGGUUUUGGCGCGAAAACACGUUUUUGCGAUUUUGGCGGGAAAACGUGCUUUUGCAGUUUUGGCAGGAAAACACGUUUUUGCGGGAACACAUUUUUACAGUUUUCGCGGGAAAACGAGAUUUUUCGGUUUUGGCGGGAAAAUACCAAUUUUUCGUUUUGGCGAGAAACCAUGGUUUUUGGUUUUGGCAGGAAAACAAGUGUUUUUGGUUUUGGCGGAAAAACACGUUUUGCGACUUUGGCGGGAAAACAUGUUUUUUUGUGUGUUUUGGCUGAAAAAUGUAUUUUGGGGUGUUGGCGUGAAAACAUUUUUUGUGAUUUUGGCAUGAAAACAUGUUUUUCGGUUUUUGCGGGAAAACACGUUUUUGCAAUUUUGAUGGGAAAAACAUUUUUUUGCAAUUUUAGCGGGAAAAUGCGUUUUGGGGUUUUGGCGUGAAAAAAUAGUUUCUAGCACGGGAAAAAGUAUUUUUGUAGUUUUCUUAGUUUUCAUUUGUGACAAAAAUGAUAUUAUGUUUAUGUUUGUAAUUUAUGAAUUACAUUAGGGGCAUAAUAGACAUUAUACCAUUUUAAUUGAACCAUCUCCAUUCAAAUGAUCCAAAUUGGUUCAGCUGAAUGGACUUUAAAAUUAAGCGGUAGUGAAGCGACUACCAAAGAAAUUGAGCUCUUCUGCAGUGUUCAUGUACACAACUCUGGUAAAAUUUAUCUGUGUUUCUUUUAUUGUCUCUCUCAUUAUCUAAAUCACUGAGUUUUUUUCACAAGUUCUUUUCUUUCUUUAUUUUUUGUCAGAUUGGUCUUACUGUUGUCAGUCUUCCCUACAUACCCGGUUGGUUUGAAGUUAUUCGAGAAACAUAUGCACUUACACGCAAAUUUAGGAAUGUUGUAAGUUGAAUUACAUUUACUUUGGCUACUGAUGUAGUUUUGUGGUAUGCUAAGCUCCUAUGGUUUUGCAGGGCGAGCUGGCUAUAGUGAUUAAUACACGAUUAUUUGAAACACAAUUUGGAUUGAUUGCUAUCAAUUCAGAGCUCCUCUUGGCGUACGAUGGGUCCAUUGACAUAGGCAUAUCUCGUGUCAUGUCUUGGUUCAUUCGAAUUUGGGCUACGGUUUUGAUUCUUCAGGUAUGAAUAAUUAAGAUUAAUAGGUCCUUUGUUUUUGCUUUGAUUAAGAAUAAUUGAAAGUCAUCUUGUUUGAACAACAUUGUUGUCUCCAGAGCUCAGAAGAUACUCGCCUUGCUGUAGGAGCGUUGGUAUGUGUACUUGUUGUCUCACCUUUACUGAGGAUGAUCACCAGAUUAAUUUUCCCAGAUCGCGGGUAAGUGACAGUCAGUUGAUCACGUAUCUAAUAAGCUAUAUUCCCUGAUAUAUCACAGAUGCAAAUGACUUAAUUGUUUUUCUUGCGCAGGAUUCUGAUGGCCAAACUACUAAUCAUGAGGGAUGCAAUUAGAGAUGUUGUAGGACCAUUUGUCUGGAGUUUAAUCAUUUUACAGAUUUACUCUCAUAGAUGUUGGUUACUAAUUAUUAGUCAUUGAACCUUAAUGUGCUUGAAAUGAAACAUAAAACUUAAUGUGGUUGUUCAAUGAUUUUUUCAGUAAAGGAGGGAUUUGUAAGAAGCUAUGGAAAAUCGGUACGAAAGAAGAUGAAGAUGAAGAUGAAGAAGAGACUAGAAACAUCUGUUACUGUUGGUGAAAGUCAUACCCUUGUCUCGCAUUUUCCUGCUCCCCCUAGGAUCAAAUUCUCCAGUGGCAAGGUAUGCAAGUCUUAAAAGAACGCCGUUUCUGUUAGUUCGUUGUUUGCUUGUGCAUCUACCGGUUAUAGUAUGUGGAUGUGUGUAUAUCUACAGCUUUAGUAUUUGUUGCUUUAUGAUUUAUGAUCAAGUAGAUUGAACAGGUAUAUGACCCUUUUGUUCCUAAUAGCUAUCCAAGUGGCUCUGUGCUUACUGUUCUUUUAGUUGUUUUGAUUAUUGAAGAGAAUUGGUUCAAACCACAGUACCACCAGUUUUCCUCAUCGUUAUGGGAACACUGUCUGGUUCACCCUUGGUUCUUGCCUUCUGAAAUAUGAUUAGCAAGUCACUAGUUCACUCUCUCUAGUCGUUGGACGUACUUUUUAUAUGCUUCACCCCUCAUUUUAUGCCUUGCUACAACUCUUACUCGCUAGAUGUGUAACUUGAGAUUAUUUUUCUUUAAUAGAUUCACGUUUCCCAUACUUCUUUCAUUCUACUUCAUCUUUUCAUGCUUAUGGUGGCAGGGGCCAGGACCUGAUGCACGUGUAGUCUACAUAGCUGGUGCGUUUGAUCUUUUCCAUGCUGGCCAUGUUGAGGUAUUGUAUUAAAUUCCAAGUCAUUAUGCUCAGUAUGUUAUUCAUUUCAAGACUGAGUUUGUAUUUCUUUUGUCGACAUAUCUGAGCGCUAACCUAUAAAUCAGAUACAUAUGGAUGCUUAUCAUAUAUGUUUGUCGACUAGUGCAACUAGAAUGGCAUAAAUAAUAUUGAGCGACCAUAUUUAUUCUGCUAAUGUGAACUCUUGUUCUUGAUUUAAUCAACUUUGUACAGAUUCUCAGGCGUGCUAGAGAGCUUGGCGACUUUCUUCUUGUUGGAAUACAUAAUGACCAGACCGUGAGGUAGUCAUAAAACUCAAAUCAUCAUCCAAAAAAAAAAAAAGUCUUGGUUGUGUUGAGAAGUUUAGAUUUGCAUCUUUGCUUAAAAUCGUUAUUAUUGCUGUGCAUUGCUAAAAGAGGAGGGCACCCCCCCCCAAUCAUGAGUAUGCAGGAAAGGAGCUUAAGUGUUGGGGCAUGCCGCUAUGUAGAUGAGGUGAUAUUUGGUGCUCCAUGGGAAGUGUCAAAAAAUACGGUGAGCUUCUCUGCUCUCUAAUUAAUAAUAUACCCAAAUGGCUUUCACGAAAAGCUAGUUUUAACAAUGAUUUGGGUAUUGCAGAUCACGUUCUUUGGCAUAUCAUUGGUGGUUCAUGGGACAGUAGCCGAGAGCGACAAUUUUCAAAGGGUAAAACUAGAUUCAGAUAUGAGCAAGUGUAUAUAGAGACAAUAGAGCUGCGUUUUCUAAGAAUAUGGUUGAUGAUUUGACAGAAGGAAGAGAAUCCGUAUGCAGUACCAAUUAGCAUGGGCAUAUUCCAAAUCCUAGAAAGCCCUCUUGAUAUCACAACUUCCACCAUAAUGGGGAGGAUUGUAGCGAACCAUGAAGCUUAUCAGGCAAGUUGCUAUUCUUCUUAUUGUUGGUAUACUUCACCAAUGUCUGACACAAAAUCUUUCGUAUUGCGUUUUCUAAGAAUAUGGUUGAUGAUUUGACAGAAGGAAGAGAUGCAGUACCAAUUAGCAUGGGCAUAUUCCAAAUCCUAGAAAGCCCUCUUAAUAUCACAACUUCCACCAUAAUGGGGAGGAUUGUAGCGAACCAUGAAGCUUAUCAGGCAAGUUGCUAUUCUUCUUGUUGUUGGUAUACUUCACCAAUGUCUGACACAAAAUCUUUCGUAUUGUAUAGAAACGUAAUUUGAAAAAGGAAGCUAGUGAUGACAAGCAGAUGGAAAAGGAAGCUAGUGAUGAGAAGCAUAAGGGGACUGAUAAGAAUCAAAACACGGAGCGUACCGCAUCCUAUCUCAAGAACUCUAGCGUUGGGUUUUAACCGUGAUGCUUCAGCUAAGAACUCGAACACGUCGCGCCCACCAGCCCAAGGCUCACCGUAGUUGCUGUGAUGCUCCUCACUUGUGGAGGUUGCUAGGCAGUUGAAUCUGAGGAUUGCGAAGAAGAAGGAGAGAGCGGUGAAGCUGGAAGGAUCGCAGGGAGUGGCGAACAUCGUUGUGAAGAUUCGCAGAUUAAUGGAUGAGGGGCUGUUCGUUUCACCAUUUGUCAUCUUCAUCCAAAUGAUUCAUUUGUAUGAUCUAUUGAAAUGAUCCAUUCAGAUUUUUUGUGAUUGUUUGUUUGUCCAUCCACAUAGUUCAUCUAGAUGAAUCAUCUAAAUAAAUUUUAUGUUUGUUUCUUUAUUUUCAUUUCCAUUCAAAUGAAUUUAGUAAACAAAUUACCAAAAUACCCUUGUGUUGAUUUAAUCAUAUGUUUGAUAUUAAUUUUAACUAUAUUACAUUUAAUUAUUUAGUUUAAUAUAUUUACAUUAGAAUUAUUUCAAAAUCAACGAGUUUUCUUUUUGCGGUUUGGGUGGAAAAACAAGAUUUUUCGGUUUUAGCGAGAAAACACAUUUUUCUGUUUUGGUGGAAAACAAGAUUUUUUUGUUCUGGCGGAAAAACGAGAUUUUUCGGUUUUGGCAGGAAAAUACAAAUUUUCGAGUUUUGGCGAGAAAACAAGUUUUUGCGGUUUUGCGGGAAAACACGUUUUUGCGGUUUUGGAGUGAACCACAUUUUUGUGAUUUUGGCGGGAAAACGUAUUUUUGCAAUUUUGGCGGGAAAACGCGUUUUUGCGGUUUUGGCGCGAAAACACGUUUUUGCGAUUUUGGCGGGAAAACGUGCUUUUGCAGUUUUGGCAGGAAAACACGUUUUUGCGGGAACACAUUUUUACAGUUUUCGCGGGAAAACGAGAUUUUUCGGUUUUGGCGGGAAAAUACCAAUUUUUCGUUUUGGCGAGAAACCAUGGUUUUUGGUUUUGGCAGGAAAACAAGUGUUUUUGGUUUUGGCGGAAAAACACGUUUUGCGACUUUGGCGGGAAAACAUGUUUUUUUGUGUGUUUUGGCUGAAAAAUGUAUUUUGGGGUGUUGGCGUGAAAACAUUUUUUGUGAUUUUGGCAUGAAAACAUGUUUUUCGGUUUUUGCGGGAAAACACGUUUUUGCAAUUUUGAUGGGAAAAACAUUUUUUUGCAAUUUUAGCGGGAAAAUGCGUUUUGGGGUUUUGGCGUGAAAAAAUAGUUUCUAGCACGGGAAAAAGUAUUUUUGUAGUUUUCUUAGUUUUCAUUUGUGACAAAAAUGAUAUUAUGUUUAUGUUUGUAAUUUAUGAAUUACAUUAGGGGCAUAAUAGACAUUAUACCAUUUUAAUUGAACCAUCUCCAUUCAAAUGAUCCAAAUUGGUUCAGCUGAAUGGACUUUAAAAUUAAGCCUAAAUUUUCAAAAGUCAUCCGAAUGAUCCAUCUGAAUGAGUUGCACUUUUAGUGCCUAAACAAACAAAACUCUCAUUUUUAUCCAAAUGGACCAUCCAGAUGGAGAAACAAACAGGCCCUGAAUUGGUGAUGGUGGAGAUAGAAGAACAAGCAGAGAGACGUGGGCUUAGCUUGGGUCGAUGAGCUCAGGCGAAAGCUACGUCGUAUCAUUAACCAACCGGUUAAUAGGGGUUCGUAAAAUUGUUUCAACACUAAAACCAAUUUUACUCAGAAUUUUCAAAUGAACAAUACAACCGGUUUAGUUGAGGAUUCGAGAAGCACUAUAGUGAACCAGUUCGGCUUGCAGUGGAGCAGAGAGAGUAAUGGGAAGAUUGGCCUCUCUGUAUAUAAAAAAAAAAAAAAACAAUUGAAGAAUACUAACCGGAAUUCCGUUUUCUGGUUUCUCUUUUCUUUACAAAGUAUACUUUUUAACAUAAUACAAAAUUAUUUGCUACAUUCAUUGGAGAGAAUUUUAAUAAGACUCUGAUAUUUACGUGUAUGUGUGAUCUAUGUGUGUGUUUGCAAACUUGUGCUUUUCUUUUUGGUAAUGAACAUGCCAACCGUUUGUAAUGUUUAAGAUUCUGAUAAUCUGAUUUAUAUUUUUAGAUUAUAUUUGGGAAUCGGAAGAAUCAUUGUGUAUGUUAUAUGUUUUCUUUUUUUGUAUCAUUGUGUAUGUCAUAUGUAUUUUACUGUUUCCAAGCUAUGCAAGUUUCUUUGCGACAUUAAACUAUCGAACAAAAGUAUUGUCAUAUAUGCUUACGAAACACAAGAUUAGUGGUAAUAUGCAUAGUAAAUUACUUUAACAAAACAAUACAUUGCUGUGUAAAUGUCAAUUCUUUUAUGUGUUCAUAUAGGCUAUAGCUGUGUCUGUUCUUGUUUGAUACUCCCUCUGUUUCUUAUUACUUGAUGUUUUACUCAAAUGCACAAAUAUUAAGAAAAACUACUUUUUAUCAAAAUCAUCACUAAAUUAUAAUAUAAAAUUAAUUUAUUUAAUUAUAAAUAAAAACUAAAAAAAAUCUAAUUGGUUACACAGUUUUUAAUAAAGUUAAAGUUACAUAGAUUUGUGCAAACUUCAUCUAUUAUGAAACAACAAAACUUCUCUAAAACAUCAAGUAUAUUGAAACGGAGGGAGUAUAUUGUAGGAAGUGAAAACAUGUGAAAAAAGUUGAUUGGCUUUAUUCCAUUUAACUAGUUGUAUGGUACAAAAGAACUAAAGAUAUUAUUACAUUACAGGCGUGUAAAAGCAAACUACCAGAGAUUUGCCAAAAUCAAGGGCCGAAAUAUUACAUAUUUAACAUAUUUAUCAUUUGUGGGAACGGGUUUCUCUAAGGAUUUGUAGAGUUUGUUCAUCUUCAAGGAUUAUAAGACGAACCCUGUUGACUUUUAGGCUAAGGGUUUAAAAAUUGGACUCAAUCUGGGCUAAAGCCCCAUUACAACACUCCAGUGUGGAUUCUUCUGAUAACGACGUUGUAUCCGAUUCCAAAGUUAGUUCUAUACAUAUGACCUGCAAUGAGGAAAAUAAUUGCAUGGAAUUUUGUGUUAACUAGGUCGGCUGUCUAGCUCUUCGAUUCUCUUGAUGGUUCGAAUCUCUCCGUCGUUGAAUCUCUGGAAUCUCUUUUUCUCUUUGUGUUAACAAGGUCGGUUCUCUCUCUCUCUCUCUCUCUCUCUCUCUCUCUCUCUCUCUCUCUCUCUCUCUCUCUCUCUCUCUCUCUCUCUCUCUCUCUCUCUCUCUCUCUCUCUCUCUCUCUCUCUCUCUCUCUCUCUCUCUCUCUCUCUCUCUCUCGGUUUAUUCAUUUGCGUCGAGUGGAUUCUCUUGAUUAUGACGUCGUUUUAUCGUUUUAUUUUAGGGUUUAGGGUUCACAUCAAAUAUCUCUUUCUCUCCUUCGAAUCUCUGUCAUAUAUUGAUAGUCGUGGUUUUGAUUUUGGAAUUUUGUUGUACUUGUCUUUUUUGGAUUACGUCUCACAGGAAUGCGGAACUUUGUCUCGCAAUCAUGGAAAUAUCUUUUCGCCGCCCACUUCGCAACAAUUGCCUCCUCUUCAUUUUUCAUUUUAUGCUAUGUGCGCUUGGAGAGACGAUGAAGGGACCUGGGGGUUCAAUUAUUGAUGAUUGUGAUGUUAUUUGUGUCCUUCCUUGACUUUUUCAGUGUUUCCUUGGUUCUCUUUCUUCGAGAUGAUGAUGAUGCAGCAAUGGUGGGUCCAGUACACUACAAGAAAACAGGUCGUUUCUGACUACAGUAUUAGUCGGUAUUCAGUCGGUAAAUGGUCGUUUCCGACUGAUUCACGCCUGAUCAGAGUCGUCAUAAUAUACCGCGUCGCUAAAUAAUUUAGUCGUAAAACAGUCGGUAAAUAGCGACUGUUUUACGACUAUUUUGAUCAGUCGUAAAUGCAGUCGGUAAUUAGUAGGAAAUUUGGCGACUGAUUUACGACUCAUUUAGUGACUAUACUACGACGGCUUGGUGACUGAAUUUAACGACUGAUUGCACGACUGACUUAGUGACUAACUACCUUAGUAGGAAAAUAUAACUGCUACCGAAUCACGACUGAUUAGCGACUGAAAUGCUUAAAUUUUACGACUGAUUUCGCGACUGUAUUGCGACUAAUUACCAUAUUUUUUUGGCUGUUAAAUGUAUGAUUUUGGUGUAUUGUUUUUUCUUGUCCAAAUCAUGAUUUGUUAUUUAAAUCUUCUUUUAGUACUACAAAAAACGAUUUUGAAAUCAUAAAAGUUUUAAAUACAUGUACCAUACACAAAAGAACUCCAAUACUUAGGAGUUUUCAAGUUUCAAACAGAAAGAACAACUCCAAAGAGUUUACAAGUUUCACACAUCAAAAAGAUAGUUUUUAGUACAAAAGAAGGGAAAUGCAAGACCUAAACAUGAUGGGGAUCAGAUGAAGCUGUUUCUUUGGAGAUGAAGUCCAAGAAUCUCUGGUCUGUGGUGGCCAUGUACUUCCGAACCAUUAACAACUCAUCGAUCGUAGCUUGCUGAGUAGUUAUAACUCUGGAACGCUCUCCUUUGCCGCAGCAGCAGCAGCUUGGGCACGAUCUUCCUCAGCCUUUGCAAGAAGAGCAGCUUGUUCUUUGAUUUGGCGUUGAGCUUCUUCAAGUUGCUGUUGCAUUUGGAUGAAAGAGGACAAGCUUCUUGGGUCAUAUACCACUUUAUUAAGUUGGUUCUUCAAGCUUCCAAGGCCAUAAAUUUGCCCCCUGUCAUUGGUGAAAGUGACCUACAAAAAAAAAAAAUUGAGUGAGAGACUAUAUCAAUAACAAGCAAUAACAACCAAAAUGAAUAGUGAGAGACAUGAAGUUUUGACAGUAAGAAAUCCUAACCUGAAUAAACAGCUCAUUCUCCUCUUCUAUUGAUAGUGGUGGAUGCUGCCCAGUCUCGGUGUGAUCAUCAGUCUCAAGGGUGGCCAACUUAGCUUACUUUUUGUUCUUGAAAGCCUCAAUAACUUGUUCAGCUUUGAAAUCACUAAAGGUUCCAUCAGACUUUGUAUGAGCUCUGAUGAAUACUUCACCAAAGCUCAUUGGUCUUCCCAAUUCAACAACCUGAAGUAAAAUGGAAGAAAAGAUCAGUAUAAAAUGUUAAAAAACCAAACAUACUUAUCACAUUGAACAACUAAGCAGUAGGGACUCACCAUCUCUUGGUGGAGCUGCAUAUAAGACUUCUGGCCAGAGUUAUGCGUGUGAAAGCCAAGACCUUGACGGUCAGACAUUCUAGAUGCUGAUGCUGUAGCACUCUUUGCAACCGCAGCGUCAGUGUCCCAAUAGUCGGUCAUUGUUUUCCACAGUGUGUCGCGUAUCCAAUCAGGCUGCUGCCGAGAAGUCCUUACUUCGCUGACCAUGUCUUUCAGUCGUAAUAGAGCAAUGGCCUCGAAAUGUUCUUGCACAACACCAGUCAAUGAUGGAUCCCAUGUGUUUUCUACAAAUGAACAUAGAAGAUACUAGUUAGCCAUCAAAAACCAAAGAAUUAAAAAAAACAGUGUGUAUUAAACUUGUUUCAAAAAGACAAAUGAACAAUGAACAUAGAAAUGUUCUUGCACAACACCAGUCAACACCACUUACUUAAUAACUAUAAUAACUCAAAGACAGAGAAGAGACAGAGAAGCUUACGGCAAAUUCCAAAAAGUAAUUUUCUUGUCUGUCUCUAGGCACAUGAGUCCAGCUGUAGAAAGACUUAUUAAACUUGUUCCUUAAAAUCUUGGUAAUCUUCCUAGACAAGCUCGACUUGUCAUAACCAAACCUAUAAAAGAAGACAAGCAAAGAAUCAUCAAUAAAUCUAUAUUCUUGACAUAUUGUAGCUAAAUUCCUAAAUUUAUAUUCUUGACAGACAAGCAAAGAAUCAUCAAAGAAUCAUCAACAAAUCUAUAUUCCUGAAUCAUCAACAAUUGUAGGAAACGAAGACAAAAUACCAUGUGGUUUCAGGCUCAAGGUUGCGAGACAGGACAGUUGUGUUCUUCGCUCGACCUGGCUGGUUUAGGAGGGAGUUCAAAAGAACCAAAUGGUCAGAGGCAAGAUUAGGUUGAACCGGAGCCUCUACAUCGGACAUAUCCUCCUCCUUCUCUUCUGGAAAAUGAGAAUUUUGUUCUUCAGAACUGUGAGGCGUUUGAGAUGCUCGAACGGGAGCCGCUUGACUUGGAGGAAGUGCGUUCAUAUGUUCAGUCGACUGAGUUUGUCGCUGUUGAGGUUGAGACGUCGCAGCAGCUGGAGUGAGAGGCGACAUAGCUGAUUGAGAAGGUGGGAAGUUCGUUGUCGGAAAAAGCUUUCUCGGAGGAGGAUAAUCGCGAACAGACGGGAGAGGAUUGUUCUUAGGGAGAGGAUUUUUCUUAGGGAGAACGGGUGGGAUGGACGGAGAUGGAUCCCUCGGUACGAAGUCAUACUGAGUUGGUAAAGUAGACGGGCGUUGUGUAACCCGAGAGGUGUUCGGUUUGAUGGUAUUUCGCUUCCUCUUUCCACCCAUAUUCGGAGAGAUCGGUGGUAGAGAUCAGUGGGAGAUAUCAGUGGGAGAGAUCGAGAUCGAGAUUCGUCGGUUAUCAGAGAGUGGCCGUCGAGAUUGAGAGUCAGAGAUUAGGGUUUCUUCUUUCGCGAAAACAGAAAGGGUAAUAACCUCUUGGGCUUUGGUUCACGCGGGCUUUAGGUCCAAAAAUGAAAUAAAAUUUUGGGUUUUCGCGGUUUAGAUCAGUCGGAAUUUAGUCACCAUUUUUUAAAAUGAAAAUUAAAUUGAAAUUCAAUAUCAAAUUAUAACCAAAUAUUUUCGCGGUUCAAUAAUUUUUGGAGGCAAAACCAAAUUUUUGGCUGAAUAGUCGGUAAUCAGUAGGUAAUCAGUCGUUAAAUUUGAAAAUAAAUUUGAAAAUACAAAUAUACAUAAUUUAAUAUUAGAACAUAUAUUUUAAAAAAAUUUUGCGAUUUAAGAACUUUUGGAGGCAAAUAAAAAUGUACAUAAUAAACCUGGAUCCUAACCCCUAAAUCGAAACCCUAAUCCCAAAAUCGAAACCCUAAAUCAAAAAUAACAUCAUCUUACAACAUAGUAUAUUAAAUAUGACAAAUAAAGUGUAUAACAUAUAUAUGAAACAUAAUAUUAUAUAUGGUAACCGAAGUUUAGAACAUCAUAUUACAAGAUAAUAUUAUACAUAUGAGUACUUAAUUAAUCAACUUAGUAUGGUUCAUCUUCAUCUCCAUCUUCAUCAUCAUCUGAAUUAUGAUAAAUUACAUCGGAAUUCAUCAUUAGGUUCUGCAUCUGCCACGUCGAAAUCAAUAUUGAUCGGUUCUCCAGGAGCAUGUACCAAAUGGUCGACUUCAAGGUCUUCAACUGUGGUCAUCAUAACAGCAUCAUUGUUUUCUUGUUGCAAAGUCACUAGAUCUUUUUCUUCAUAUUCUCCGAAAAUGAUUCUCCUCGGAUUCACUUUUAGAACAUUGAGCCAAGACUGCUUCGGUUUCCUUACAUACGGAUAUGGAAUAUAACAAACUUACCUAGAAUAUAUGGAUCAUAUUUGUAGUAUUUUCUCGAUGAGAGAACAUCCACGAUUCCGUCAUUUUUUCACCGAGUGCCUCUACCAAUAACAGGGUCAUACCAUUUACACUUAAAAAGUGUGAUUUUCAAAUCGACUAUCCCCUCGUACUCGAUUUGUAUGAUAUCUGUUAAGAUCCCGUGGUACUGAGAUUCAUCAGCUGCAUUUGUAUAACUCUCUCCUUUAGCACAUACUCCAUAGUUGCAAGUCUUUUGUCCCUCACCAUGCGUUUGGGUAUGAAACAUAAAACCUCGAGUGUUCUUCACUACCACUUAAAUGCGUCAGAUUAGCAUAACUUGUUCCUAAAGCCAUAUCGAGUUCUUCUCCAUGCUUGUACCACACAUAAUAGUCAAGCAUAAACCCUUUACUAUAUAUAUAUGUUUCAAAACUCGUUGCUCCGGGAUAAAUUUCUCAUUUUUGCAAACACUGCAUGGACAAAAGAAUUUACCAUUAUUAUCCUGUGUUAGAGGCUGACUGUUUGCAAAUGCCAUGAAUUGGUAUACUCCCGUUGUGAACUCUUCCGAGAAAUUCCCCGUUUCUUCAUCGAUCCUCUUGUACAUCCAAUCUCGAAAGUUAGUGUAGUUGUAAUUACCUCCCAUUAUGUGAUUUUUUCUGAUUUUUUCCUGAUUUUUUCCUUAUUUUUUUUAUUUUUUUCUGAUUUUUUUUAUUUUUUCUGAUUCGCAAGACACGAAACCGACUGCUUUAUUUCGGUCGUAGCAUAGUCGCUAUUCAGUCGUGAAUCAGUAGGUAAAUAUAGCAACUGCAUAAUCAGUCGGUAUAGUCAAUCGGCAAAAACGUGUUUUCUUGUAGUGAGUGACCAGUGGCAGUUCGACUUCGUCCAAGUUUGCGUGUAUUGACAACAGAGUUGUUAAAGACCGUGACUCUCUGAGUUUUUCUAAUGCUAGAUGGUGAAUUUAAGAAGGGCAAAAGGCUUUGGAUGACUCUGUUUUGUGUCUCCUACAAUCUCCACAUCAUACAUCUGAUGGUCAGUUUCCUUAUAGAUGAAGAUUGUGACUUUGCAGCAGGAUUUCUUGCCGCUUCUUUCAGUCUAGUGGUGGAUGCGAUACAUGAUGAUUGGAAGCUUUUACUUUUUCCUCCUGUUUGGUUUCUUGUAGCUCUCUUGGCAUGUUACAAGUGCAUCGUUAUUCUCGGGAUGGUGGUUGGCCAGGCCUAAACGGUAAGGGAUAUAGCUGUUUCCACAUUUUUUCUCUUUUGAUUAAUUAUAGCUGUUUCCAUUUUAAUUCUUAAGGGGGUGGUAUUCAAUCCAAGAAUUUAAUAGAAUUUGAAAGAAUUCUUAAAUAAUAAUUUUUGUAGUAGUUAUGAGAGUUUAAUGCAUUUACAUAAUUUUCAUGUUUACUUUUCUUAUGGAUUUUAAAAGAAUGCACUAAAUUUGAUCGAUAGAAUAUCAAUUUCUCUAAAAUCAAAGAAAAAUUUGAAUCUUUAUUAUGGCUUUGAUUGGUGACAUGUGGUAAACUUGAUUAAGUUUGAUUUGUGAUUGUAACUCAAAAAUGUUACCAAUCAUGCAUUAAAAUUAUUUUUUUGAUUUUAAGUUUGAUUUAACAUGUAUUGUACUUGAGGUAUCAUUUUGACUUAGAUCCUUUGUAAAAUUGCUAAAUCAACAUCAACCAAAUUUCCAUGUAUUAGAAGUUGAUUUAUAAAUUUAAUUACUUUUUCUGUUUAAAAAAUAAAAAAGAAAAUAAUGAUUUUUGAAAACUUACGUGUGCCAAGUUGAGUCCACCUAAUUUUGAGCUGGUCAAAGAUUUUUAUAAUCUUUCUUGUUCCUAUUUUUUUGAAUUAUUCAAAAUUUUAACUAAUUAUUAAACAAAAUCUUAAGCGUUAAUAUGAUAUAAUAAUUCAAAAAUACCAAUUAUAAAAUUAUAUAUAUAUGACCCUAAGUUAGUGUGGAUCACACACUUUCAAAACCUAAAAAGCUUAAGGUAUGUUUUCUUCUGUCUUCUUCUUUUGCUUGCAAAAGUUAUUUUCAUUUUUUACUUGCAAAAACUAAUAAGCUUGACGUCUGUGUUCUAUCUUCUUCUUCGUCUUUACUUCCAAAAGAUAUAUNNNNNNNNNNNNNNNNNNNNNNNNNNNNNNNNNNNNNNNNNNNNNNNNNNNNNNNNNNNNNNNNNNNNNNNNNNNNNNNNNNNNNNNNNNNNNNNNNNNNNNNNNNNNNNNNNNNNNNNNNNNNNNNNNNNNNNNNNNNNNNNNNNNNNNNNNNNNNNNNNNNNNNNNNNNNNNNNNNNNNNNNNNNNNNNNNNNNNNNNNNNNNNNNNNNNNNNNNNNNNNNNNNNNNNNNNNNNNNNNNNNNNNNNNNNNNNNNNNNNNNNNNNNNNNNNNNNNNNNNNNNNNNNNNNNNNNNNNNNNNNNAAAGAAUUUUUUACUUUUUAUAGAUUUUGUGCCAUUUCGAACAAACUCCACUGGUUUUGAUGUUUUCUCGUUUGGCAUAAACGACAUUUAAUUUGUUUAAUCUGUCCUUUGUUACGUAGUUCAUGCAUUAAAACAAGUCUUUUACAACUUUUGCAUAGUCAUUUGCUAUCAUUCAUCAACAACUUUUUAUUAUCACUACCAAACAUAUAUCCAAGUCCUAGUGGAUGGAGGUUAUCAUUAUUAUACUUAAUGUUAAUUCAAUCAAUCUAGGAUUGCUUGGCCAAGUAGCAGUUUCAUUUAAAUUUGGAUCUUUGCAUUUGGAGCAAUAUGAAAUGUAAGACGGAGUAUAACCAAGAUGAACUUCACAUACGAUAAAUAUUGUUAGGGCCAUUUCCUGUAAGAAAAUUUUGUCACUUGUUGUGUCAAUUGAAGUCAUUCUUCAAGGUACUAGCGAUGGCGAAUUUGACCAUUUGGCAACAUUUUCUUUUUAAAAUCCAUUAAAAUCCGCGUAGUCUCUUCAAAUCCAAAACCAUAUAUCGAUAACAUUUUUGUGAUGUAAAACAUUAUUCCCACUAUUUAGAACUGGGGUAGACAAAGUUCAAAGAACCAAGUCAUUUCUCCACCGGCCCAUACUCAUUUGGCAACUUACUUCAUUUGUUCAUACGUUACAACUACCACUUUAAAUAUUCUUAACAAAAUUUUGCUUAAGCCUUUUAAAUGUUCAUUGCUGCCUCUGAGUUAUAAUAAUGUUCGCAAGAGCUAAUAUAUAAAAAACCCUCAAAAUACCAUUUGUUUUACUUAAAAGAUUCUAAAAUCAAUCAAAAUAUAUAAACCAAUAACACCUAAGUCAACUCGUUUCUAAACCAAAAAAACACUAACUAAUGUUGUAGUUAUUAUAUUCUCUUGACCAAAGUUGUAAAAGGAAUGAACUCUUGUAGCUGCCUCAAACGAAAGUUGUUUCAAAUGAAUUUCGUGAAACUAGAGAAGAUGCUCAAACUGUAUUACGUGUUACGACAUUCUUAAUCCUCUUGUUAAAAUUAAUUGUAAUGUGACAGUUGAUGCACAUGCAGACCAAGCUGCCGAAUCUUCACCAGUGAAUAAUGGUGAUGAUGUAUACGCUUCCGGAAACUACUUGUUAAGGACCGAUGUGAUGAUUCUGAUUCAGAUUCAGUUCAGAUGUUUAUGAAAAAGAAAAUCUUUUAUCAAAAAAAAGAAAAGAAAUAAAGAAAUAAAAAAAGAACAUUCAUUGUGUGAUCAUAGUUUCACGAUUUAUUUAGGAUUUGGGACAAAGAAUUUUUUACUUUUUAUAGAUUUUGUGCCAUUUCGAACAAACUCCACUGGUUUUGUUGUUUUCUCGUUUGGCAUAAACGACAUUUAAUUUGUUUAAUCUGUCCUUUGUUACGUAGUUCAUGCAUUAAAACAAGUCUUUUACAACUUUUGCAUAGUCAUUUGCUAUCAUUCAUCAACAACUUUUUAUUAUCACUACCAAACAUAUAUCCAAGUCCUAGUGGAUGGAGGUUAUCAUUAUUAUACUUAAUGUUAAUUCAAUCAAUCUAGGAUUGCUUGGCCAAGUAGCAGUUUCAUUUAAAUUUGGAUCUUUGCAUUUGGAGCAAUAUGAAAUGUAAGACGGAGUAUAACCAAGAUGAACUUCACAUACGAUAAAUAUUGUUAGGGCCAUUUCCUGUAAGAAAAUUUUGUCACUUGUUGUGUCAAUUGAAGUCAUUCUUCAAGGUACUAGCGAUGGCGAAUUUGACCAUUUGGCAACAUUUUCUUUUUAAAAUCCAUUAAAAUCCGCGUAGUCUCUUCAAAUCCAAAACCAUACAUCGAUAACAUUUUUGUGAUGUAAAACAUUAUUCCCACUAUUUAGAACUGGGGUAGACAAAGUUCAAAGAACCAAGUCAUUUCUCCACCGGCCCAUACUCAUUUGGCAACUUACUUCAUUUGUUCAUACGUUACAACUACCACUUUAAAUAUUCUUAACAAAAUUUUGCUUAAGCCUUUUAAAUGUUCAUUGCUGCCUCUGAGUUAUAAUAAUGUUCGCAAGAGCUAAUAUAUAAAAAACCCUCAAAAUACCAUUUGUUUUACUUAAAAGAUUCUAAAUCAAUCAAAAUAUAUAAACCAAUAACACCUAAGUCAACUCGUUUUUAAACAAAAAAAAACACUAACCAAUGUUGUAGUUAUUAUAUUCUCUUGACCAAAGUUGUAAAAGGAAUGAACUCUUGUAGCUGCCUCAAACGAAAGUUGUUUCAAAUGAAUUUCGUGAAACUAGAGAAGAUGCUCAAACUGUAUUACGUGUUGCGACAUUCUUAAUCCUCUUGUUAAAGUUAAUUGUAAUGUGACAAUUGACGCACAUGCAGACCAAGAUGCCGAAUCUUCACCAGUGAAUAAUGGUGAUGAUGUAUACGCUUCCGGAAACUACUAGUUAAAGACUGAUGUGAUGAUUCUGAUUCAGAUUCAGUUCAGAUGUUUAUGUAUGAUUGAUGGCAAAAAAAAUUUUUGUAACCAUGGUAAGACUUUAUUACCAAUUUUCGAUUUUUGACAGAAGUUUUUUGUUUUAAAAGGAAUUUUCACAGAAGUUAAAAACAAAUAAAGGAAAAAAUAUAAAAUACCAAAGCAAAGAAAAGCAAACACUCUGAGCAAAGACCUAAGAUCAACAAUGGUUUUUGUUUCUUGGAAGUGAUUCCUAAAGCGUUAGAAAUUGUGAAGAAGGUUAUGAGCAAGGAGAAAGUGAUAAGGAUUUGAUGAAUACCAUAUCCUCUACUUAGAUUUUAGAGCAUUUUUAAUUCUACUACAUUUUUACUCAUUUACUACUGUUAUUCUAUUUAUAGAGUAAUGAUUUUAUUUUUUACUUAUUACUCUAUUUUUAAUCAAAAAUGUAGUAGAACUUAGAGUGAAAAUCAACACUAAUAUAGAGUUACUGCAUUUAAAAAAACUAAAUCGAGCAAAAAAAUUGAGAUGCUUUUGAGCCAGGUCAUAAGAGACAUCAUCGCUUAUACAAGCUAUGGUUCAUCUUCGUUACUAUCUCUCAAUCAUUGCGAGUUUAGAUUUCUAUAAUUUCAACUUCGAAGUAUGUUGUUACGUGUAAAUAAUUGGUCAUUAAGAAAGGUUGUGGUUGAACUCGGUCUCCGCGCAUUAACCACAUCCUACUAAACCAAACCAAUUUCAAAUUCAAACUACGUCACAUUUCACAAACAAUGAUCUAAUGAUCUCUAGAAAUCAUUGUUCUAAGAAAUAACAUACUAAGAUUGCGACAUAACUUGUAGCGAGCAGAUAUGCAUGGUACACUACACCACGUAAGAGUUCAUAUUUUUAGGGAACAAACACAAAAAUAAAAUAAAAACACUAAAACGUAAAUACGAGUUCUUUGCUUCUUCAACAAGCAGCUAAACCAAAACAAACAAACUUCAAACUCUUACUACUACUACUUCUGCUGCUGCUUCUUCACUGGACCUUACUUGUGCAACACUCAUUCAGUUCCCAUCAUCUGAUGACUUCAAGUAGAGUGUUUCUCCACCAUCCCCUGAGCUUCCACCCCUGCCUUCACCACUACCCAUCUCCGGCUUCCCACGGCCAAAUUCAUGAAACCCACCAGCCUCUCCCUGAAGGAUAUGGAGACCACUGCUUCCUCCUCCGCUGCUAGAGCUCAUCCCAAGCUGGCUAUGGUGCAACUGCUGGUGCUGAAGCGUUGCAUAAGGCUGUUGCUGCUGCUGAUACAUCAUUGAAGAACGAGCUGCCAUAAGAGACUGCUGAGUCAUCUGCUGCUGUUGAGUCGCCUGUUGCUGCUGCAAAUAGUGUGACGCUCCUUCUCCUUGAAUCAACCCACCACCAGCAGAUCCAUACUGCCAAUAUUACCAAUGAUUUUUUUCAGUAUUAUGCAGAAAAUUUGAGUACUCUUGUGAUUUAACUGUUUACCUGGCUAUGCACGCUUGGAGGUUGAGGCUGAGAAUCUGCUAUUGCAGCCAAGUACAUGAGGUUGCGUUGAAGCCUUGCCUGAUUCCUGUAACAAAAUAUUUAACCUUAUGAUCAUAUCCUACACACAAGUGAAAAUCAAGGAGAUAUGUUUUAUCUUACUCGGCACACUCGCUGAGCUUUCCUGAGUUUUGAGACUCAACUAUCUUCAGAAUCAAAGACUUGUUCUCAUCCAAGUACUACAGAUUAAGAACAUCAUAACCUUCAUUAAUCAGUAAUGGUACGGUACGAACAGAAUCUAUAAACAAAGAUUUGAUAUUUUCUUUUGUUGGAAUAAAGACAUAAGAAACUCAAGGAGACCCCAGUACUUGAGAUUCCAGACUUAUCAAAAGACAAAAAACGUUGAAACAUAGCAAAAGUUGUAUGAAAGAUUUUCUUUCUAAAAGAUUUUGAGAAGGACCACAUAAAAGUGGAGCUUAAGGACCACAAAAGUUAUAUAUCUGGUCAUGUAAGGAAAAGAAGGAACACUUGGACUGAGCUUAUACAUAUUAGAUCUAAAUCUAAUGAUAACAAUCUAAACAGGACCACCACAUUCACAUAAAUGGCUUUGUGGUUUUUGCCAUCAAUGAAACUUCCAGAACCCGAAAACCAAGACAAGCUUGAAAUGUGAACAAUCUUCAGUUCCCAAGAUUUGUCUGUUUCGAACACAUUAUUUUUUUCAUUACAUGUUUCAAGAACUUAAAACAGCUGGACCCUAAACUUGUUUUUUUUUCUUAAACCACUCUAAAUAAACUGCCGUCAAUUUGCCUUAAAUAAUUAAAUCUACAGUUACCAUAUAGACAUCCCUUGGAAGCCAUAGAUCCCGGCGGUUUGGUCUUGUGAUCUUUAUGCAAUUCAAACUUUCUCAUCCCACUAACUUGACUAUCUUAAGGUUUUUGAUGAAGUUUUUUAAGCGAUUGAUUUGGUUCUCGAAAAUUUAUUAUGAGUUGUUUGAAGAAUCCAUGAUUUCAUGCGAAGUGAUUGCGUUCAAUUUUUUUUUGAUUGAGCAACUCCGAUGAUAGAUUGUUGGAGAAGAACGGUGGUGAUGGAAAAUAGAAAUUCUGUUUGACGGCUCAAUCAAAAUUUUAAUAUGAGACACAUCCACUUGAAUUUUUGAGCUUGCGAAAGUCAAUCAUUUCACAUGUUUAAAGGUUAUUCUCCUUCUCUCCCGUGAAGUUGUGUCUUCGUUUGAUGUAUAGAGUUCCUAAUGAGUGCUUGAAGUUUCACAUUUCAUCCUCAAAUUUCAUUCUCCCUAUUCUGAUUUUUGCUUCAAGUCUGAAUGUGGUUCCUUUUUCGAUUUGCUUACAAGUGUUGUUAUAGAUUAGUUCUAAGGAGAUUAAUUUAGAUUGAUUCAACAUGGAAAGCAAUAUUAAUUUGUUUCAUGGUUGUGAUGGUGGUGGAGGCCGAACAAGAAGAAGAAGAGAGGCGGAGAAGGAGAGAAGAUAGAGACGGCGUAGGUUUUAGUUUUUUAUUUAGUUUUUAUUUUUUUCUUAAAAAACUUGGUUUAGUUUGGUUUAUUUUGAUGUACUGAUCUUAAAUUGGUAACCAAUUUUGAUAUAUAUAUAUAAUAUUAUUUUUAAAAAAAUAUUUUUUAAAGUUAUGUUUUAAAAUAUAAGUUAAAUAAUAACAAGAAAAGCAUUAUUAAAAUUAUUUAAUUGCAUGUAAAAAAUGAUAUAGCAUAUCAUAAUACUAAAAAUAAAGGAUCAACUUUAAAUCCCAAGAAGAAGUACAAUAAAUCUCAAUAUUUAUAGUUUAAUUUCAUAAAAUCUACAAGUAUACUUAAAACUCUAUUAUUUUAUAUUUUAAUAUUUAUUUUACCAAGUAAAAUGAAUAAAAGCAAAAACACAAUUUCAUAGUUUAUAAAAAUGUAUCGUUCAUUUUAGCUGGCUAGCUAGCUAUUGAAAUGGGCAAGCAGCUAUACCAGAAAAUGCCUUUUUAGAACGUUUGCCUCUAAGAAAAUGAUAAAAGUCGCUAGAAGCUAAAUAUAUUUCUGUUUUUUUUUUUGAAAAAAAUAUAUGGGCUUCGAAGAAAUUCUUGAUGUCCAAUAUAGACAAUCCACUAUGUAAUUGUAAAAUAUGACGUACCAAAUUUUUAUUGAUAACAAAAUGGCCUAAUUCAGUAACUUAAAUUAGGCUUGCUAAAUAAAAUUUGCAAAAAUUUGUACUUAUUUGAUUUUUUUCCUAACUUGCUUCUAUUUUCUUAUGUUUUCGCCUGUUCGUAAAAAUAUCAAUGUAAGAACUUUAUAUUCAACAUUAAAGCCCAUUAUUUAUUGUUUAAUUUCAUAAAACCCACAAGUAUACUUAAAACUCUAAUAUUUUACACUUUACUAUUUAUUUUACCAAGUAAAAUGAAUAAAAGUACAAUAAAAAAAGAACACAAUCUCAUGGUUUAUUAAUGGACCCUCGACACAUUGAACAAGAAACAAAUAUGUCAAAACUCAAUAACAUAUGAAUCUAUAAUAAGAACAUAAACAAUUAUGUUUAUGUAAAUCAUUUAAAAGUGAAAAACAUAUAAUUACGGAAAACUCACCCGCGCGGGCGCGCGGGUCAAAGGCUAGUCUAUAUUGAAACAGAAGUAGUAAAUUAAAAAUAAAUCAGACUAAUUUGAAAAGAAAUAAAUUUGGAGUUCACUUUAACAGAACAGAUAUAUGAUUAAAUAUUGAAUUUCAUGUUUGAAAACAUAAUUUAUUCUGACAUUACAUAAAAGUUUACGAGCCAAAGCGUACGUGCAGUAUUAAUCUCAACCCCUUAUAUUUGGCCAUUGACCGAGUCUUUGGCUUUUACAUUAACAAAAUGGGACCAUCCUUAGUCAUUACUUUUCAACACGAGAAGCAGAAGUAACAACGGUAGUAACAUCUCUGAUGAAUUUGACGAAUAUGGUGUUAGCCACAUCAUUGGUGAGAACUAGUUGUGGACUAUCCAAGGCCCCUGAGAUGGUUCCAACGGUUCCGGCAGAAGUGGUAAAUUUGUAAAUGUUUGUUUCUGCUUCUUUUCCGGCUCUCUCUAUCUUAAACCAGCUAUUUCCUCUCCUCCGGUUACCACCGAUGAGAAUCUCAGCCUGGUCGGGAUUCUGUGCGAAUUCAUCGACUUCCCAGAACUUGGAGAUGCCAUUGCAGAUGUUGGACUUGAACUCGAUGGUUAUGUCGGAAUUUGUAGGGACAAUGGUGCGUGGCAGCAGGGGAGGGAUCAACCUCGGUGGAAAUGCGAUCCUAACCAGCACGCCCGAUUCCCCCGGAAGUGCUUCGGUGAUGCCAAGUGGACAAGAGGGGAGUAUAGCUGCAACUGGGAUAAGACCACCUCCGUUAAUCCCGGUAUUGACCGGUUGGAUGACGUAUCGUUCAUUGAUACGAACGUUUUUUCCGUCCGUGUCCGUCACCGGUACUUGUCCGUGGGUGCAGACAGCUGCAGCCAACAGGAGAGCGAUGAGAAAGGAGGCCAAUGGGAAUGAUGACAUAUUUUUUUUAUUGUUUGGUGAGUUGAGUUAUAGAGAUCAGACACAUUGUAUCGGUAUUUAUAGGAAGUCUAUAUGCUUAAACUUAAAAAUCAUUUGUUUUAACCUAGCUAGCAUAGAAUCCUAAACAAAUACGUGGAAACGAAACAGUUUCCACGUUUUGAAACUUAAAAAAGUAGUUUAAAAAGAAAUAAACGGUUUAGACAUCUAAACUGAAAUAUAUAUACCUUUGUUUAAUUUAUCUAAGAGAUUAAACUAAAUAAUAGGAGUGUUUUUUUAUUUUGUAAAUUUUAUAAAAUUUUAUCAAAAAGGUAAAAAAGUAUGUUAUCUUUCAAUAAAAUAAUUUAGUCCAAAAAAAUAAUAAUAAUAAUAAUGUAGUCCAUUUUCUUUUAAGUUAAAUUAUUAUAUUAAAAGGUAAUAAAUACUGAAAAUGAUAUUAAAUACAAAUAAAAAAUAUCAUUCUGUGGUAAGUAUGCCAAAAAGAAAUUAAGCUAUCAUUAAACAUAAAUUGACAAAUAGUCGUUUUGUGUUUCGAAUCAAAGUCGCUAGUUUUUAAAUGGAAACACUAUAGUUUCCAUCACAUUUCCGAAACAAGAUUUUGAGGGAAUUGUUUUCAUAAGUUUUCAAGAGAUUCUCAUUCAGAAACCUCUAUGAAACAGAAAAUGAACUUUUAACAGAAUUUCUAAACAAUUAUCAUGCAAAAAUUCCUGGAUAGGUCCUCUUUUUUUUUUUUUUUUGUAACAAAUUUCUAUAAUUUCAACUUCGAAGUAUGUUGUUACGUGUAAAUAAUUGGUCAACCUACUAAACCAAACCAAUUUCAAAUUCAAACUACGUCACAUUUCACAAAUAAUGAUCUCUAGAAAUCAUUGUUCUAAGAAAUAACAUACUAAGAUUGCGACAUAACUUGUAGCGAGCAGAUAUGCAUGGUACACUACACCACGUAAGAGUUCAUAUUUUUAGGGAACAAACACAAAAAUAAAAUAAAAACACUAAAACGUAAAUACGAGUUCUUUGCUUCUUCAACAAGCAGCUAAACCAAAACAAACAAACUUCAAACUCUUACUACUACUACUUCUGCUGCUGCUUCUUCACUGGACCUUACUUGUGCAACACUCAUUCAGUUCCCAUCAUCUGAUGACUUCAAGUAGAGUGUUUCUCCACCAUCCCCUGAGCUUCCACCCCUGCCUUCACCACUACCCAUCUCCGGCUUCCCACGGCCAAAUUCAUGAAACCCACCAGCCUCUCCCUGAAGGAUAUGGAGACCACUGCUUCCUCCUCCGCUGCUAGAGCUCAUCCCAAGCUGGCUAUGGUGCAACUGCUGGUGCUGAAGCGUUGCAUAAGGCUGUUGCUGCUGCUGAUACAUCAUUGAAGAACGAGCUGCCAUAAGAGACUGCUGAGUCAUCUGCUGCUGUUGAGUCGCCUGUUGCUGCUGCAAAUAGUGUGACGCUCCUUCUCCUUGAAUCAACCCACCACCAGCAGAUCCAUACUGCCAAUAUUACCAAUGAUUUUUUUCAGUAUUAUGCAGAAAAUUUGAGUACUCUUGUGAUUUAACUGUUUACCUGGCUAUGCACGCUUGGAGGUUGAGGCUGAGAAUCUGCUAUUGCAGCCAAGUACAUGAGGUUGCGUUGAAGCCUUGCCUGAUUCCUGUAACAAAAUAUUUAACCUUAUGAUCAUAUCCUACACACAAGUGAAAAUCAAGGAGAUAUGUUUUAUCUUACUCGGCACACUCGCUGAGCUUUCCUGAGUUUUGAGACUCAACUAUCUUCAGAAUCAAAGACUUGUUCUCAUCCAAGUACUACAGAUUAAGAACAUCAUAACCUUCAUUAAUCAGUAAUGGUACGGUACGAACAGAAUCUAUAAACAAAGAUUUGAUAUUUUCUUUUGUUGGAAUAAAGACAUAAGAAACUCAAGGAGACCCCAGUACUUGAGAUUCCAGACUUAUCAAAAGACAAAAAACGUUGAAACAUAGCAAAAGUUGUAUGAAAGAUUUUCUUUCUAAAAGAUUUUGAGAAGGACCACAUAAAAGUGGAGCUUAAGGACCACAAAAGUUAUAUAUCUGGUCAUGUAAGGAAAAGAAGGAACACUUGGACUGAGCUUAUACAUAUUAGAUCUAAAUCUAAUGAUAACAAUCUAAACAGGACCACCACAUUCAUUUUUAAAUAUUUAAUGGUUUAUUUGUUUUUAAUAAAUAUAUCACUAUUAAUAUGUUUAUAUAUUCAUUUAUUUUAUUAAGAAAUUCAUACUGCAACUUAUACAUCAAAAAAGUUACCAGUCAAUAGUUUUUAAAAAAUGAUUACUCUUAUUUUUACUGCGAACUUACCACAUAAACUUACAGUUUAUACCACAUAAUUUUUACUGUAAGUUACAUCGAGUUACAAAUCAUACUGCAACUCGGCUUUAAUACUACGUUGAAAAGAUAACAAACAUUAUUUUAGUUAUAAAACUGAAAUAAAUAUAACAGUUACUACUACUACAAAAGUUCACUGAUUGUAGCAGUUUUAUUGCAUAAAACAAAAUAAGGGUAUAUUCGUUGUGCUACACUUUGACGAUGAAAAAUAUUUGUGUUAUUUCAAUUUUGUCACUUUUUGUUUUCAUUACUUAAGAAAUAAAAAGAAAAUCUUUUAUCAAAAAAAAGAAGAGGGGAAGAUGUUAAACUUUUUGUAUCUGUCUUCUCUUUCUCACACCCACUUCUUCUGUAUAUAGAAAACUCUUAACUAUUGAAGAUGUAUAUCUCUGUGUGUGUGUGUGUGUGUGUGUUAUCUCGCUUUCUCUCCCCCACAAAAGUUGUUUUGCGUUAAAAGACUCAGAGAGACAGUGAAGUCUCUUAAAUAGAGAGAGAGAGAGAGAGAGAGAGAGAGAGGUGUUAAUAGGGAGGGGUGAGAGAGAGUCUUGUUUCUCUUUUUCUUGGGUUUUGGGGUAUGGUUUUGUUGGUUUCUUUCUGUCUCAUCCUAUCUCUGUCCCUGCGAAGGAGAGGAAGUCACGUGACGAGUCAUGCUUAUUAUAGAGACGUGAGCUUUGAAGUUUGCAUUUUUUUAUUGCUUUGAAGUUUCAACCUUAACUACAGUAAGCUUCUUUAUUUUGAAGAACUUUUCCAGACAAGACCAUUAACUGUAUAUAUCAUUCGAUUUAUUUCGCUUAGGUUUUCUCCAUUUUAGCCAAAAUAUCUUCAGUAUUUCGACUAGAGAGCUAACUAUAUUUAUUUCUUUUCCAAAAAUAGCUAACUAUAUAAUUCUAAGUAUAUGUGUGGAUUCAAGUCACAAUUUCUUAGCUAAUCGUAAAUUUCUAGUCAUUGCUUUAAAGAAUGCAAAGAAAAAAUUACUACUUGUUAUAUUACUACAUUUAAAAUCACACUAAAAUGUCAUCUGAUUUUAUAUAGACCUAUUUUCUAGAAUUCGAAAACAAACAACCAAACCGAGUGCCCACGCCUCCUUGAACAAAACACUGCCGGUACGAUCACUAGCCCAUUGGUUUGAAUGUUAGAUAUAUUGAUGAUGUUUGACUAAAGGAUCUCUAAAGUUUUUGAAAUGGUUUGGUGAUAGAAUUUAGUAUAUAGUUUGGAGUUAUUUGAUGCCUAUAAGAGUUCCUCGCAUUAUCUUUUGUUCGAAUUCUUGAAGUACGUUUCGAUGGUCGGUAAACUAAAUUAAAAAGAUUUAACAAGUUACCUUUUGCGUGGUUAUGUUAUUUCCACGUUAGGCUCUCUAGUAGAUGUGAUUAAAUAUAAAUUAACACCUUAUUCGCUGGUACCAAAAAUGGAUCCGAGAUAUUCCUUCUGCAUAUAUGAACCACGGAGGCUCUACUUUUAAUGUAUGUUUGUUUAAAUAUUAGAACCCAAAAACUAUUGUAUUAUGACUGAAGAUUAAAUUAAUCUGCAAGGAUUAUUGAAUUGUUUUGUUUUCCCGAUUAAUUAUGCCUAAGAACAAUAACUAAAGCAUAUAAGAAGCUCAUAGUUUUGAUUUAUAGAAAGAAAAAAAACAAGAACGAUAUUAAAACAUCGUUAAUUUUUCACAUCACACCAAAGAAAAAAAUGUUUGUCUUGCUAUAAAUUAAAACUAUGAGCUUAUAUGCUUUUGUAAAUUAAUCUGAGGUUGAUGUACCUUCAAUGAAACUUUGAGCUGAGAUAUUUUCGUGGUUAGAUACCCGACGUCAUAUUGAGAUUCGACUUAUUAGUUUGCAAUCUUCCCCACGCGCUUUUCAUCUAUAUACUUUAUCGUCUUUCACUCGUUUGAUUAUGAUCCUUUUCCCUAUGAUACGCUAAGCCAUAUAGGCUUCGAAUGUUACGAACCGUUCCGCUCCGCAGUAACAAAAAUCUUUAAAUAUAUUAUAUAUUCAUAUGUUUUUAUAACUGUUAAAACCGUACUGCAGUUAAACCGCUUAUUCCGCACCGCUCAAACCACAGUUGCCAUUCGGAGCCAUAAUGAAUUUGAAUUUGAUGUGUUGUUUUUUAUCGAGAAUAUUUUGAUGUGUUCUUUCUUUAUUGUUUCUGAAAGAGAGCAAGAAAUAACUGAAACUGAUUUUCUUGUUUUCAACACUUUCAAAGCGUAUAGUUAACGUGGUAAUACCAAAAAUGUGUCAUGUCAUACAUUUUGCUAAACCAAAAUAAAUUUCUUUUGACAUAUAGUAAGAGGAUGGAUGAUAAUUGAACAAAACUUUUAGUCGAAAGCAAACAAAACCCUUAAAAUAUAUUCCCUCAGUUUCAAAAUAAUACAUGUUUUAGAAAAUUUUCACAUUUUUUAAUAGAAUAUAUUAAAAUUUAAUUAUAAAUGCAUAAUUUUUUGUAAUUUUAUAUUUUUAUAUUUUUAAAUCAAUAAAAAAAAUUAAAAUGUAAUUAAUGUUUUUGAAUUUCAUAAUUUUCAUUAUAAUUUGACAAAAACUGUUUUGAAAAUAUAAAGUAUGUAUUUUUUUUAAACAAUUUUUUUUAAAGUAAAAUAUUUUUGAAACGAAUGGAGUAGGUUGAAGUGUGCACGCAAAAUAAACGAGAAUUUUUACACACAAAAAAAGAGAGACACAUUUUACAUGCAAACGACCAUAACAACAUAACGCCUAUGUGUCAAACAUGUGAUGUCCACGUAUAUUUUAUGUCUUUUCUCGCCUAAAAUUUGGCAAGUUUUGUUAAUUGUCGGUUUAUAAAUAACUAAUGAGAAAUGCUUAAUGGCAAGUGACAGUACUAUACUACUGGGAUUCAGUUUCUGAUAAAAACAAGAACAACUUCACUUUUUCUUCCAUAAAUCUAAGUUUUAUAGUAUUCAGAUAUGUCUUUACCAAUUGUUAGAUUCUACAUCUGACAUGAAAUAUAUGCAAACGUGCUCUAUAUUGAAUACUAGCAUUUGUUCAAAAGAAAAAAAAAAGAAUACUAGUAUUUCAAAUAAUGUUACUGAACAAAAACUUUUGGUUUCCACCUACCAACAAUUUAUUUGUUUCUUUUUUACACAAGAUAAAACGAUUUUUUAUUCACAAAAAAAAAAUUCAACCAAAUUUAUCAUUCUCUGUAUAUGCUUAAUUGUUGGCAAUUUCUAGUCUUAUACCAGUAAUCUCAAUUUGAUUAAUAUAAAUGCAACUAACAAUAUACAUUCGUCUUGCAGAUCUGCAAACCCUACAAACUGAGACACACAUAUAUAUAGGUAAGUUAUUCUCGAAGGAAAAUAUAUUAUUAUAUGCUUUACAAUUUUUUUUAAAUGUUUAGAAAAGAAAGGAAUAACAAUAAAGAGAAUUCAGAAAGUAGGACGACAUAAUAAAAUUCGUGGGGAAAGAAAAACAUAGGAAAUAAAUUGUAUGUAAUGAGAUAUGCGAAUCUAACUUUAGAUAUGUAUCUGAUGCAUGAAAUGAAACACCAUUAAUCCAUAUACAUUAGUGGCUUCUCGUUGGCCUGUCCGUACGGCCAGCUUUGGACGAAUAUGUAAACGAUAGCUCAUUGUAAAGUUAUUUUCUUUUUGUUGAAACAGCUUUUAUAAAGUAGCUGAACACUAAAGAUGAAACCAUAUAGUCUAAGGAUUUAUAAUUUAACGUUGAUAUAUGUAAGAAGGUAAUAUAAUAUGUAAAUGAAAUAUAACAAAUGGAAACCUUUGUGGCUAUUAUUUGGUCUAGUCCUGCAUUCUUUACUCAUAAUUGGAUACAAAAGAAGCUUUUGAAGCUUCAGCUACUUGUUUUAGAGCUCCCGAAAGUUGUUGCCCAUAGUGGUGAAUACGGUACUUUCGAGUAUGAAAUUAGUCCAUUUUUAGUUAUUUGACCCAUUCUACAAGAUUUGGUUGGCCACAACAUACGGGUUUGAUCAUUAGUUUCCAGUUAAUGUGAUGCAGCGGCAAUAGCCAAGGAUGGCGUUAUACCGAAUAUAAAUGGACUAACUUGACCAACAUAUAAUUCUAACUUUUAUCUUUCUUGACACAUCUAAAAGUAUCUAAUCUUAGUACACCAGUAAAGUAUGUAUUCUCAAAAAAAAAAGAAAAAAUCAAGUUUUUAAACUGCUGUAAACAUGGAUCUAACGGAUUGUAAAGUUAUUUAUUCAUAUAAUCACAAAUUUUAAACAAAUAUCUGCCUUUUGCAGAAGAAGUAGAAGGGGAAGAAGAAGAAGAAGAAGAAAACCUGCUGGAUAUGAUCAGAGGUGACAUUGCUGGGGUAGUAACCAGCCAUCAUGGGCUGCAUCUGCAUCAGGUGCUGUUGCAUCUCUUUUGCUAUUUUAUAUAAAACCUGAUUAUUAUUAUUUUUAUUUAUUUAUAGUUGCAAAAAUGUUUUAUAGAGAGAACCCCCACCACUAAACCCAAAGGAAAAAGAGAAGCCACCAGAGAAAGAGAGAGAGAGAGAGGGGAAGAUGUUAAACUUUUUGUAUCUGUCUUCUCUUUCUCACACCCACUUCUUCUGUAUAUAGAAAACUCUUAACUAUUGAAGAUGUAUAUCUCUGUGUGUGUGUGUGUGUGUGUGUUAUCUCGCUUUCUCUCCCCCACAAAAGUUGUUUUGCGUUAAAAGACUCAGAGAGACAGUGAAGUCUCUUAAAUAGAGAGAGAGAGAGAGAGAGAGAGAGAGAGGUGUUAAUAGGGAGGGGUGAGAGAGAGUCUUGUUUCUCUUUUUCUUGGGUUUUGGGGUAUGGUUUUGUUGGUUUCUUUCUGUCUCAUCCUAUCUCUGUCCCUGCGAAGGAGAGGAAGUCACGUGACGAGUCAUGCUUAUUAUAGAGACGUGAGCUUUGAAGUUUGCAUUUUUUUAUUGCUUUGAAGUUUCAACCUUAACUACAGUAAGCUUCUUUAUUUUGAAGAACUUUUCCAGACAAGACCAUUAACUGUAUAUAUCAUUCGAUUUAUUUCGCUUAGGUUUUCUCCAUUUUAGCCAAAAUAUCUUCAGUAUUUCGACUAGAGAGCUAACUAUAUUUAUUUCUUUUCCAAAAAUAGCUAACUAUAUAAUUCUAAGUAUAUGUGUGGAUUCAAGUCACAAUUUCUUAGCUAAUCGUAAAUUUCUAGUCAUUGCUUUAAAGAAUGCAAAGAAAAAAUUACUACUUGUUAUAUUACUACAUUUAAAAUCACACUAAAAUGUCAUCUGAUUUUAUAUAGACCUAUUUUCUAGAAUUCGAAAACAAACAACCAAACCGAGUGCCCACGCCUCCUUGAACAAAACACUGCCGGUACGAUCACUAGCCCAUUGGUUUGAAUGUUAGAUAUAUUGAUGAUGUUUGACUAAAGGAUCUCUAAAGUUUUUGAAAUGGUUUGGUGAUAGAAUUUAGUAUAUAGUUUGGAGUUAUUUGAUGCCUAUAAGAGUUCCUCGCAUUAUCUUUUGUUCGAAUUCUUGAAGUACGUUUCGAUGGUCGGUAAACUAAAUUAAAAAGAUUUAACAAGUUACCUUUUGCGUGGUUAUGUUAUUUCCACGUUAGGCUCUCUAGUAGAUGUGAUUAAAUAUAAAUUAACACCUUAUUCGCUGGUACCAAAAAUGGAUCCGAGAUAUUCCUUCUGCAUAUAUGAACCACGGAGGCUCUACUUUUAAUGUAUGUUUGUUUAAAUAUUAGAACCCAAAAACUAUUGUAUUAUGACUGAAGAUUAAAUUAAUCUGCAAGGAUUAUUGAAUUGUUUUGUUUUCCCGAUUAAUUAUGCCUAAGAACAAUAACUAAAGCAUAUAAGAAGCUCAUAGUUUUGAUUUAUAGAAAGAAAAAAAACAAGAACGAUAUUAAAACAUCGUUAAUUUUUCACAUCACACCAAAGAAAAAAAUGUUUGUCUUGCUAUAAAUUAAAACUAUGAGCUUAUAUGCUUUUGUAAAUUAAUCUGAGGUUGAUGUACCUUCAAUGAAACUUUGAGCUGAGAUAUUUUCGUGGUUAGAUACCCGACGUCAUAUUGAGAUUCGACUUAUUAGUUUGCAAUCUUCCCCACGCGCUUUUCAUCUAUAUACUUUAUCGUCUUUCACUCGUUUGAUUAUGAUCCUUUUCCCUAUGAUACGCUAAGCCAUAUAGGCUUCGAAUGUUACGAACCGUUCCGCUCCGCAGUAACAAAAAUCUUUAAAUAUAUUAUAUAUUCAUAUGUUUUUAUAACUGUUAAAACCGUACUGCAGUUAAACCGCUUAUUCCGCACCGCUCAAACCACAGUUGCCAUUCGGAGCCAUAAUGAAUUUGAAUUUGAUGUGUUGUUUUUUAUCGAGAAUAUUUUGAUGUGUUCUUUCUUUAUUGUUUCUGAAAGAGAGCAAGAAAUAACUGAAACUGAUUUUCUUGUUUUCAACACUUUCAAAGCGUAUAGUUAACGUGGUAAUACCAAAAAUGUGUCAUGUCAUACAUUUUGCUAAACCAAAAUAAAUUUCUUUUGACAUAUAGUAAGAGGAUGGAUGAUAAUUGAACAAAACUUUUAGUCGAAAGCAAACAAAACCCUUAAAAUAUAUUCCCUCAGUUUCAAAAUAAUACAUGUUUUAGAAAAUUUUCACAUUUUUUAAUAGAAUAUAUUAAAAUUUAAUUAUAAAUGCAUAAUUUUUUGUAAUUUUAUAUUUUUAUAUUUUUAAAUCAAUAAAAAAAAUUAAAAUGUAAUUAAUGUUUUUGAAUUUCAUAAUUUUCAUUAUAAUUUGACAAAAACUGUUUUGAAAAUAUAAAGUAUGUAUUUUUUUUAAACAAUUUUUUUUAAAGUAAAAUAUUUUUGAAACGAAUGGAGUAGGUUGAAGUGUGCACGCAAAAUAAACGAGAAUUUUUACACACAAAAAAAGAGAGACACAUUUUACAUGCAAACGACCAUAACAACAUAACGCCUAUGUGUCAAACAUGUGAUGUCCACGUAUAUUUUAUGUCUUUUCUCGCCUAAAAUUUGGCAAGUUUUGUUAAUUGUCGGUUUAUAAAUAACUAAUGAGAAAUGCUUAAUGGCAAGUGACAGUACUAUACUACUGGGAUUCAGUUUCUGAUAAAAACAAGAACAACUUCACUUUUUCUUCCAUAAAUCUAAGUUUUAUAGUAUUCAGAUAUGUCUUUACCAAUUGUUAGAUUCUACAUCUGACAUGAAAUAUAUGCAAACGUGCUCUAUAUUGAAUACUAGCAUUUGUUCAAAAGAAAAAAAAAAGAAUACUAGUAUUUCAAAUAAUGUUACUGAACAAAAACUUUUGGUUUCCACCUACCAACAAUUUAUUUGUUUCUUUUUUACACAAGAUAAAACGAUUUUUUAUUCACAAAAAAAAAAUUCAACCAAAUUUAUCAUUCUCUGUAUAUGCUUAAUUGUUGGCAAUUUCUAGUCUUAUACCAGUAAUCUCAAUUUGAUUAAUAUAAAUGCAACUAACAAUAUACAUUCGUCUUGCAGAUCUGCAAACCCUACAAACUGAGACACACAUAUAUAUAGGUAAGUUAUUCUCGAAGGAAAAUAUAUUAUUAUAUGCUUUACAAUUUUUUUUAAAUGUUUAGAAAAGAAAGGAAUAACAAUAAAGAGAAUUCAGAAAGUAGGACGACAUAAUAAAAUUCGUGGGGAAAGAAAAACAUAGGAAAUAAAUUGUAUGUAAUGAGAUAUGCGAAUCUAACUUUAGAUAUGUAUCUGAUGCAUGAAAUGAAACACCAUUAAUCCAUAUACAUUAGUGGCUUCUCGUUGGCCUGUCCGUACGGCCAGCUUUGGACGAAUAUGUAAACGAUAGCUCAUUGUAAAGUUAUUUUCUUUUUGUUGAAACAGCUUUUAUAAAGUAGCUGAACACUAAAGAUGAAACCAUAUAGUCUAAGGAUUUAUAAUUUAACGUUGAUAUAUGUAAGAAGGUAAUAUAAUAUGUAAAUGAAAUAUAACAAAUGGAAACCUUUGUGGCUAUUAUUUGGUCUAGUCCUGCAUUCUUUACUCAUAAUUGGAUACAAAAGAAGCUUUUGAAGCUUCAGCUACUUGUUUUAGAGCUCCCGAAAGUUGUUGCCCAUAGUGGUGAAUACGGUACUUUCGAGUAUGAAAUUAGUCCAUUUUUAGUUAUUUGACCCAUUCUACAAGAUUUGGUUGGCCACAACAUACGGGUUUGAUCAUUAGUUUCCAGUUAAUGUGAUGCAGCGGCAAUAGCCAAGGAUGGCGUUAUACCGAAUAUAAAUGGACUAACUUGACCAACAUAUAAUUCUAACUUUUAUCUUUCUUGACACAUCUAAAAGUAUCUAAUCUUAGUACACCAGUAAAGUAUGUAUUCUCAAAAAAAAAAGAAAAAAUCAAGUUUUUAAACUGCUGUAAACAUGGAUCUAACGGAUUGUAAAGUUAUUUAUUCAUAUAAUCACAAAUUUUAAACAAAUAUCUGCCUUAAUCAUUUUUACUUUUUGUUUUUCUUUUCAAGUUUUGAUUUGCAUUUGUUCACAACACUUUUGUUGUCACAAGAUUUAUUAAUACGAAAGACUGUUCUCUUAUAGUUUGACCAUAACCGUUCGUAACAAGAAAAAAAUCUGUUAUGAUAUUGGAAUUCUUAUGACACAAAGGAUUGUGGUGCUAUUUGUCAAUAAUUUAAUUACAAAAACAUUUAUAUAUGUGAGAAAUGGAGAAUCAAUAAUUAAGAAAUUGGGUCCCAAAAGCUCACAUGAUCUCUGAAAGCCAUGUCCAAUCCAACCCUCAAAAUUUGCAAUAAGGUGGUUGACAAGACUCUUCUUUUUCUUUGUUUUUAGCGACAAGACUCCUCUUUAAAAGUUAAUGUUGUAGAAUAAGAUUCCUCAAAAAUAUAACAAAAUAAUACUACUACUACUACUACAUAUAUAAACGAAAGUUAUCCAAUGGCACUAGUCCCAACAUCGAAAUCUUGUUUGCAAUAUCUUUUGAUUUGGAUUAAUUAAAAGCGCAAUGUGAAAUACUAGUAACAGGUUGACAAAAAAGAAAAGAAAUACUAGUAACAUUGACCUCCAGCAGGUUACUCUGGACUUUCAACUUUUCAGUAUUGUCACCGUCGACAAAAUUUAUGUUAUUUUGGUCGUGCUUGUAGCUUUUACAAACUUAUGUCGAUAAAUUGAAAGCAAACAAAUAUAUGACUUGAACCAAACUGGCAUAGACAUGAUGUAAAGGGUCAAGGACAAGCAAUUGGUAAUGGCAAUCAUAAAAAAGAGAUCCAAAAAGAGAAGUGAACGACUUAAGAAACAAUGAUUUGAGAAUAGUGGUUAGCUUACCAUUGAUAUUGCUUUGUGUUUGGGUUUUGUCCAACAAAAUUGACUGGAAUUACAUGUAGGGGGAACAUGUGGGUGGGUAUGAAGGCAUUAAUGAUUAGCAGAGUGGCAUCCAAAUAAUUAUGAUCUCCACAAGGAAACAGACCCUACUUUUCAACCCAAUCCUCUCCUCUUCACACCUCUAUAGAUUUUUCUCCCAUCCCUUCAUUGAGUUUCAAUUUGUCUAUAUUUCUUCAAAUACUCAACCAUUCGAAAAAAAAAACUCAACCAUUCGAAAAAUAAACUCAACCAUUCGACGCUAUCUUUUAUUUCAGUAAAUAAAUAGAACAUGUGCCUAAUAGUAGUGAUAAAUAUUUUAACUAUUAGGCUUUAAAAGUCAAAAUUUCGUCAAUCAUUCAAUCAGUUUUGUAACUUUUAUCCUAAAAAGCUAAAAAUCCAUCUUAUUUUUACAAAUAUAGUAACUAACUAAAUAGCAAACCAAAAAGCUCUACAGAUACAGUUUCUAUCCUUUGAAACAUAAUCACAAAUAUAAGUAGAAAAUAAACUAAAGAUCUUUCAUCGUUUUUUGAUAACCAUACCUACCUAUUCACAAGAAUAAUUAGAAAACUCUUAUGUUCUAUAAGAAAUUAGAGGUUAUGAUAGAGGGAGCAUGUGACUAAGUUCGGUGAAAAAGAAAGAUAAAAAAAAAAAAAGAGAAAAGACAUUAAACUCACAUGCCAUGUUUGGUUUAGGUGAAGCUUUUUCCCUCUUCCAAUGAAACGUCACAUCUUCAUUUCCAUUUUUAUGAAAUUCAAGGACGUUAAAUGACACAUCGCUCUAUCCAUCUGUUUCGCCUCCAAACUUCGUGCCGUUUUUCCACCUCUUGGUCUUUUUUUCUUUGAAUUAUACAGAGGUAUCCUGGCCCCACAGAAGUGCUCCAGACUAGUCACGUGUUGCCACGUGUCGGUCCUCUGUCAUUGACGAUGCCGAAAUGUUAAUUCCCCAGUGGCCGGGAUUCGAACUCAGGUGGCGGUACUCACAGCUGUAAGCCCUUUACCACUAGAGCUAGAAGCUCCGGUUAAAAAUGUCCUUGGAAGUCAAGGACAGUCAAAGACAUCUUUCCAACAUCGAGACUUGAAUUCAUAAAUUUAAACGCACUCUAUAUAUUUUAAGACGUGGACUCCUAAACGAAGAGCUAAAUGAUCAUAAAUUUGAUUAAUUGGUUUCAUGGUUGUAAUUAAGUCAUAAGUGGUUUAUAAUUGUGUAACCAUCCGUGUUAAAAUCGUUAAAUUUCAUAUACUUUGAAGAAAACUCAUGCGUUUUGCACCUUGAGCGAAACCUUCUCCAACUUAGGAGCUACAACAAUAACACCAUCAUGUUGAUCGAAAAAGUAUGCAAGUUUGCAACGGUGCAUGAACUAUAUUUGAAUAUUUCACUGUAUCGCAACCCAAGUCCUCAACAGUAAUAUUUAUCUCAGAGGCCUACUAAAAUGGGCCCUUAUAUGAGAGAUAGGCCUUCAAGGCCUACUUAGAUAUCUCGUGAAAAUUUUCUUUUUGCAAACCUAGGUAGAUAUGAUAUAAACUCAAGAAAACAUUGUUUUCUUUUUAAAGCAUUGUUAUAUUGUUCAGCAAGGAGGAAGAGUAAAAUAAUCAUCGACACAACAUUUGAUUAUCUUUCCACAAGACCACAACUUUUUUGAUAUGUUUUUUGAGUUGGUAAUGAAGCAAAAAGAGUUUGCUCGUUAUGCAGAGAAACUUAUAUUAAUCCUCGAAACCUGUAGAAAUUUGUUUACAUGGUCACUCCUUCUUGCCUUCAGGUUUAACUUCAGUUUCUAUUGGUUCCUCCUCUGUGUUCACCGCCUUCUCCUCCUUCACCGUAUCUUUGGUCACCGGAGUCAUUAGAGAAUCGAAUUUGUCUGAUUUCCCCAAUACAAUCUCAAUCUGAACAUCAGUUCAAAAAAAAUUCUCAAUCUGUACAUGACACAAAUGCAAUAUAAUAAAAUCGAAAAUACUUUAAUAAUAAGAUCUUAGUUAAAGCUAUUUUAAGAGAGAAAUAAAUGACUGGCCUUGGCCUUCUGAACUACUCUCCCUUUGUUCUCGUCCUUCAUUCCCACUGUUGAUGUCAGAACUUCUGUUUGUUUGUUUCACACAAAUGAAAUUUUCAGCAAAAAAAUAAAAUAAAAUAAGGAAGAGAUAAAGUUAACUCGACACAACAUUUGAUUAUCUUUCCACAAGACCACAACUUUUUUGAUAUGUUUUUUGAGUUGGUAAUGAAGCAAAAAGAGUUUGCUCGUUAUGCAGAGAAACUUAUAUUAAUCCUCGAAACCUGUAGAAAUUUGUUUACAUGGUCACUCCUUCUUGCCUUCAGGUUUAACUUCAGUUUCUAUUGGUUCCUCCUCUGUGUUCACCGCCUUCUCCUCCUUCACCGUAUCUUUGGUCACCGGAGUCAUUAGAGAAUCGAAUUUGUCUGAUUUCCCCAAUACAAUCUCAAUCUGUACAUCAGUUUAAGAAAAAAAUCUCAAUCUGUACAUGUCACAAAUGCAAUAUAAUAAAAUCGAAAAUACUUUAAUAAUAAGAUUUUAGCUAAAGCUAUUUUAAGAGAGAAAUAAAUGACUGGCCUUGGCCUUCUGAACUACUCUCCCUUUGUUCUCGUCCUUCAUUCCCACUGUUGAUGUCAGAACUUCUGUUUGUUUGUUUCACACAAAUGAAAUUUUCAGCAAAAAAAUAAAAUAAAAUAAGGAAGAGAUAAAGUUAAUGAAGAAACAACGUUAUACUUACUCUUCUCUGUUGCAAGUCCAUUGUUCUUCAAAAUUUCUGAGAUAGUUACCACUGUUGUGAUCGCUGCAUAUACACAAUUAAUCAUUAUAUAUACGAAACGUAGUAUUUAAAACACACACGGAGAAAAACAAAGUGAGAUAAAAAUAAAGAAAAUCGAAAAUGGUUGUAACUUGUAAGCAACCUACCCAUUCCAAGUGCAGAAAGCUCGACCUCGUUGUGCUGUUGAAUGUACCUCUGCAUUAGAUACACACGAAAAUAACGAAAUCCUAAUCAAUUUACAGUCACUAGAUUCAUAUAUAAAUCGGUUGCUUGACCACCAAGAAACCUUUGUUGUGAUAAAAUGUAACGAUUGUUCUUUUUUUGGCACUUACCUUGGCGAGAUUAACGUAGAAGAACAAUGGUUUCUUAGUGUUAGAAACUUGAAUCCUGUUCUUCUUAUGAGUUUCCACAGCGGUUGUUGUUGCUGAGACAAUGAGGUUGGUCGCCGGAGAUGGCGCCGGUGCAUGAACCGGAGUUGCUACUUCCAUCGCCAUUAUAAGUCUUUCGCUCUUCUUUUUUUUUGGGAAAUUUAGAAAAGAGUUAAAGAGGCGUGUAACCCAUUAUAAACAGCGGUUCGAGGUGAUUGUAAGUGACGCGUGUUCGUCGCCGGGUUGUACGUUGACUGAGCAAGAGAGAAAAACGGAUCAUCUGGCUUCCAAGUAUAUGCUUAUUUGCAUUUCUCACGAUCUACUUUGUGGACUCCGUAUUAAUUUCCUUAAAAAAAACGUAUAAAUAAAUACUAUACUUACUUAAGAACAUUAAAGAUAAGUUCUUCUUUGAAACUGUAAAAUGCUACGGAACUUAAAUCGAAAUUUUGGUCUAAAAGUGUUAAAUGUCAUUAGUAAUUUCAUAAUAGGGCUAUUAGGUUUGAUUGGUUAGAGGAACAAUCUAAGGCUUGGGAAUUUGACAAUUUGUUAAUGAGCCCAGAUUGAGAGUAUUCUAUAUUGCUCUCUUCUUUUUCUUCUUCACAUAAUUACUGGCCCAUGCACGCACGUUGUCACAUUUGAUAGAAAAUAAAUCGAAUGAAACACUUUUUUUUUUAUAAAUUCUACGGCUAUUCAAUCAGCUCGUACUUAAUGUUACGUAAUGGACGGUAUACCAGUGCCGGUCCAAUAUUCUCAUUUUUUUUCUUGAUGCCUUAAACUCAUUUAAAAUUUUAUGUUUUUGUUAUUUAUGUAAAAAAAAAAUUUAUGCCCUAUUUACAACUAAAUUUUUCGCUUAAAAUAUGAUGUCCUAAGUGGUUGGUUCCCUCACUUAUUGUAGAAAUUUAUGCUCAUAUGUUUCACAGUGUUGUAUUAAGUAAUGACGAGGUUAUGCAUAGAGAACUUUUUUUUUAUUCCAUCAAAUUAAAACUUAAAAUAUGAAGGUAAAACCUCUCAUAUCAGGUUAGAAUAAAACCUCUCAUAUCAACCACAAUUUAAGGUAAAACAAAAUGUAAAAAAUUUCAUAACAAAUGGUUCCCAGAAAAUGUUAGAAAUAUUUAAAAGGUUGAGACAAAGAGGACCCAGAGAUUGAUUUGAGAUCAGAAAAGUUGGGUUCGGAGGGUGUUCUUCCCCGUGUCGGCGUUAACUAACCGUCGUCAGCAUUGACUACGCGAAUUUAAAAGUGCAACGAUUCACGUGUUAUCCGAGGAUGUUUUAUUUUACACGACAAUAUUUCUAUUCAAACUUGUCGACACAUACAUAUAAUAUCUAGUGUAUAACAGAGAGUUUGUACUUUAGUUUUAGUCGUUGAAAAUAAAGAUGCAAAAUUGAUUCUUGAUAUUUAAUCUCGAUUUAAAAAAGAAAACGUGAGUAUUUUUUAAUUUAAUUAAUAGACUUUUGUACUGUUAUCAACGGACAACGAGUUUACUUUUUGGUUGGACAAAAUUCUUUUCGAAUAUUUAAUUGCCGAGAUGAAGAAUUAAUUGCCAAAAAAAAAUCCCACUAUAUAAAAGUGACUAUUUUUAAGCUUCCUAAAGCUAGCCACAUGCUCAAAAUAAUCAGGGCCAAUCAAAUUGCCACGUCACUGCCAGAUUAGGCUUCAAAUUAAAAUCACGAUCGGGCUUCCUGUGCGCUAACUCAUUCUCCGACUCCGUAUUUUUGUUUUGCGCCAUCAGCCGAAGUGAAGCCAAACUCAGAUAAUUCACUUUCACCCAGCCCAGCCCAUUAAUCCCAUCAAUCUGAUAAUUCACUUUAUCCCAGCCCAGCCCAUUAACCCUAAUCUACGUAUUGUUGAGACUCAAGCCAAAGCGCACACAGCUUUCUCAUCCUCUGAAUAACCUAAUCGCCGUCUCCCCCAUUUACCUUUCUCUCAUGACGACCCAUCUCGAAGCCCAUUCCCGAGCCACUCUCUCAUAAGCAUAAUCCCGUGUUCUAAACAUCCCGUGUUAAAUUUUUUAAAACACUCAUAUCUUAGAAAUAGUUUAGAAAAUAUCUUUAUAUAAAUGUUUUUUUCUUGAAUAAUAUUUAAUUAUAAUUUUUUGUAUCUUUUUAACUUUUAUAAUAAAAUUAUUGUUUUCAGAUAGCUACAAAAUAUAAAUAAGAAUUAUCUUAUUUUAAAUUUUUUUGAUAAUUUUAUUAUAUUAUUUUAAAAUCAUUUAUUUAAUAUUAAUAUAACAUAUAAAUUUUAUAUGAUUAAAAUAAAAUUCGUUUUUAAUUAUAUAUAAAAUUCAUUAAGGGUAUUCUUUUAAUUAACACAUUAGCGAAUCAGUUAGAAAUUAAUAAUAAAUCAAUAACCUAUCUAAAAGUCUAAAACCUAAUAAAAUAUGACAAAUAAGAAAAACUAACUAAAUUUUAAUAUAAAAUAGAAAUUUAAUAUUACUAAUAAAAAAUUCAUUUUAAUAUAUAUAUAUAUAUAUAAUAUUAAUUAAGGGUAUUUUUAAAUUAAUAAAUUAGUGACUUAGCUAAAAAUAAAUAAUAAAUCAAUGAUUUAGCGAAAACCUAAUAAAAACAUGACAAAUAAGUAAAUUUACUAAAAUUAUGGAUAAUAUAAAAUAUAAUUGAUUCUUUAAUACAAAAUUAAAAUAAGAGUUUUGUUAAAUAAAACAUAAGUUUGCCGUAUCGGUCUAACAAAAAAAACAAUCAUUAAUAGUGUCGUAGGAAUUAUGUUUUUCCCAUUAGCGAAUAAAAUUGAAGCAUAGUGUUGGAGGAUAACUCAACGUGUAGACAAGAUUAUGGAGAUUGACAUGGGAGUUGAGGUAACAGACACAACUGUUCUUUCGCAAAGAAACGCUCCUGCUAGACAUCCUGGAUAAAUGAAAGAGACAUAUCUUGACUUGGCUUUGUGUUAAUGGAUGGUGACUUUCCAAUGCUGUUUGGAGUAAGGACCGAUAUACACGCACCAAAUCACCACUGUAAGCGGAAGCUGAAGGUUUGCUAUGGGCAAUGCAAGUGAUACUGAAGUUUAGACACAGAGAGAUGGUCUUUCAAUCGACUGUGAACAACUGGUUAUGCUUAUUCAAAAGGAGAAAGAUUGGCCUGUGUUGGACUCGGAGCUCAACGAAAUACAGGCUGUAUCUAAAGAAUUUUCUGAACUUUCUAUUGCUUAUAUUCCUAGAGCUUUAAAAUUCCGUAUGAAUAGCCUAGCAAAAGGUGUCCGAUCACGCGCAUCUCAAUCAGCUUUUGUAAACCCUUUUGCACCAAGUUGGCUAGCCCCACAAGCUAGCAUGAGGAUGUCAAAAAAGAGAAUAAAGUUAAAAGUGAAACUAAAUAUCUCAAUGAACAAAUUUAUCAGAAGUCCAUAUUUAUGUGGAUGUCUAUAUAGGACAAACAAUUUUUUUAGACAAUUAUAGAAUAUAGUCACGAAAAUCAAUCCUAAUAUAUAUAAUUUAAAAAAACCAUCAAAAUUUUCAAUAUUACACCAAAUAAGAAUAUAAAGACCAACUAUAUUCUCUUUAUGUAUAAUGUGUUGUGGUAAGAUUCAAAAAAAUUAACUUACUUUACAGUAAGGAAAAACUAGAUUUUUAAUUCCAAAUUUACAAUAAAAACAUAACAUUUUAUAAAACUAAACAAUUGACAUAAUAGUACAAAAAUAUGAAGAAAAAAAACAAAAUACUAUCCGCGCGUAGCGCGGACAAGGACCUAGUUACUAAUAAUAGAAAAAGCUGUUAAAAGAAAAAAAUGACAAAUUAAACAAGUAAAAAACAGAGCCGAUAAAUAUCCAACAGCUUAACAAAUGAAUCGCAGUUCCAUAAUAACAGUCACCGCCAGAAACAUAAGCAAUCUUUCUUUUUCAUUGAGAGAGAGAGAGAGAGAGAGAGAGAGAGACCGCGAGGGAGAGUUCUUGUUCUUUAUUGUCUGAAAAAAGCUCACGACAGACCGGAAAGAUUAGUCACGAAGACUUGUUGUCAAGAAUAAUUGUUCAUUUCAGACAAGAUCUGUAAGGACAUUAUCUCAUACUCGUUUUUUGUUUUUCAAUUUUUGUUUUGUUUAUUUUUUCAAAAAAGAAAAUAUUUUUUUGUUUGGUUCUCCCCUGUCGCGUUGUAUCGAGUUUGAUGAAAAAUAUGUUCCUCGUAUCAACCAAUAAUAUUUUCUAAAUGUUAUCGUCAUCUGGAUUCAUGCUGUUCAUUUCUUUUUAGAUCCGAAAUGUUCAGAUUCCAGAUUAAUAUCAAACCUUUGUUUCUUUAUAACCAUGAACAAAUUAGGUUGGUAGGAUGCUGGAAAUUCAAUCAGAGAGCUGAAAAAUUGAAAUAACAAAAAAAAAAACAGUUUGAAACCUUAACAUUAAUUAAAUUAGGUUCUAAUAAUAUGUUUUACAAGUUGUUUAAUCUAUUAUCUCGUCUAUUUUUUUUUUGGUGAUUUAUGGUACAGUAAUAGACUAGUUGUUGGAAAUGGGAAGAGAAGUUGUUGAGUCGGUGAACAAAGAUGCAUCCAAUGGAAGGACUCACGUGGCUCCCAAGUUAGCUGCAGAGGAGGAUUACGAGGUUAAAGAAUGCACUGAGGAGGCGUCUCUCUCCCAGAAUCAUCAAUCUCCUCCUAGUGUAAUCACUGAGGUAUUGUAUAGUAGUGUAUAGAGAGACAUUGGAAUUGACUGAGAUAUGAAAAAAGUUUUUAACCUAUUUUUUUUCUAAUAUAUCAGAAUGAUGUGAAGAAGCCGUUGGAGCCUGAUAACAAGAACAGUUUGGAUGAAGAAGAUGAAUCUUCUCUUGCUUCUUCGUAUCCUUUUUUAGUAUACUUACUUCACAAAAACACCGAUAAAUCUGCUUAUUUGUGAUAAAUAGUAUUUUAGUUUGAUUGUGAUUCUUGACGAUAUUUUACUCCAGCGCUGCAACAUCCUUGAGGAAUGCUAAGUCUAGAGCAGUAAAUCAUGGAACUGCUCCACGGAUUAGGAGUGCUCAGCGCGCUGAAAAACGCAAGGAGGUAUGUACUCAUAAUCAACAAAGACAAUUAACAAUCACUUAUGUUCUGUUCACCGAUUUUAACUGUCAUUUUUGUGGGUUUAGUACUACCAAAAGCUUGAAGAGAAACACCAAGCACUAGAAGCUGAAAGAAACGAGCUCGAACAAAGGCAAAAGGUAAAUCCCAUUAAGUAACUAAAUCAAGAAAAUGUAAAUGAUUCUUAUCUUUAGAACAUCUAAAUGGGGAACACAUUUAAUGUGCAGGAAGAAAAAGAAGCAGCCAUUAAACAGCUAAGAAAAAACCUCAAGUUUAAGGCUAAUCCGGUGCCUAACUUCUAUUACCAAGGACCUCCCGUGAAACCAGAGCUUAAGAAGGUAUCAAUUGUAUCUAGAUUAUCUCACAUAUGUUACUUGUGUCACAAGAAAGCUUAUCAAAAUGUUCUUUGUUUCAACAUAGUUUCCUUUGACGCGUCCAAAGUCCCCCAAACUCAAUCUCUCUAGGAGAAAGAGUUGCGGAGAUGCCAUUAACUCUUCUGGUGAAGAGAAUCCGAAGUCAGUCUCUACUCAGAACCGACACAGCGUCGGCAAAACAGAGUUGAAGCCUGUGAGUGUGAAUGAAGAUUCUUCCAUGGAGGAAGCGGUUACCAUAACCUAAUUUGAUUAUACCGGAAAAAACCGAACCAAACCAAACUCUGAUUUCUGGUUAUCUACGGUAUUUGUUCAGUUUCUCAACCGUUCUCCUCGAACGGUUAUUGAUUGUUUUUUCUGUUUCACGUUUGUCUCUACUUGAUUUCUGUUUUAAUGUUACGUAACGUUUAAACCUGACACUGUAUAUUUUUAAGUGUUUGAGUAAUCUUAGAGCUAAAGACUGAAUCGAUUAUGCUAAAACUCGAAGCUGGUUAAUAAUUUCAUUGCUGAUGAUUAGUUUCAAGAUUAAUCUCCUCUUAUCCCUAACUUAUAAAAAAAAUAUUGAAGAAGCGUGAAGCUAAUUCUAGAAGAGUUUACUACUAAUUACAUUCUCUAAUGGACUUGGAAAAACAGAGAGGAACCGAAUCAUAUCAGAUACAUUAGUUCAACAUCUGAUACAAAAAAAACAUUCUAGAUUAUGACAUUUAUAACAAUAUCUAUAUGUAGAUAAGGCUGAAACCAAACUUGUGAUGCACGAUAACCUACGUUCAAGGUAGAAUUUACACUUGCAGAUCGCAGCUACUAGACCGGUUUAGCUAAUCAGGUGUGAGCUGACUGGGAGGAGAGCAUUCUCGCAUGGUUAUGCUCACCUUCAUAAGUCACAAUAAGCAUCGAAGUUUCGUCUACACAUCGUUCAACAUGCUUCCUUGCUGGACAACCUCGCACGCUGCUGCAUUUAUAGUAUCCCCUGUAACGAGAGAGCAAUAUUAAAAACUAGUGUUCUAAAAAUCGGUCUAGGCAGCAAAUCAGUCAUAAGCUAAACAAUUUUUCAUAAAUAUUUUUCUCGAAAAUCUUAUAUAGGGCCUAUCUCGCCUAGUGAUUUCUUGAACAUUGAACGAGGCCAUUGGCUAAGCAUGUAACUAUUUACUAACCUAGGAUGAGGAGAACCCUUUAUUGGCUUUUGUCCAUACUUCCUCCAUGAGUAUUCAUCUGGAGGUAUAUCAGCAAUCUUGUUACUGAUUGCAGGUACUUUGAUGGAUCUUUUUACUCUCAGCUUCCUGUAAAAUAACCAAACAUCUUAUAACACAAACACUUUCUAUCUCAUAGAAGAAGACAAAACCAACACACACCUUUUCUUGGAACAAUGACACUUAUUUCCACAUUUCAAACUACCAGAGCAGCUUGUCCUCCUUGAAUGCUGCGACAUAUGAUCAGACCCCUGAGGUAAUCCUAUCAAAUGAAACGAGUUUCUAUCGUAGUCCGUCACACUCCCAUCCAUACUGAGAGAUGAAACAAACGAUCUUGAUCCAUUGGAAACACUUGGGGAAUAGCAACUACCACCACCACCAGACCCAUCAAACUUUAGGUUUAAACCACUGUUACUCCUAUAGUACACUCCUUGCUGGUGGUUACGGAUAAACUGAUAUGGCUUUUGAUCAACAGCUCGAAGAGACGGUGGCUUUAGCUCUAGAAACGACUUGUCAACACACAUUUUCUGGUUAAGCAUCAUAGGUGGAGGGUGAACCGGUCUCUGUUCACCAUAACUAGGAGCAGCAGGUGGUAUAACCUGAAGAGGCUUUGGUGCUAGAACCGGAGUGCAACCAGUUAUAGCAUUAUUACUGCAUAUAGGACUUUCCAAGAAGAUGUAUUGGGGCAACAAAGGAGACAUAAACUUGUAGUAGUUGUUGUUGAGUUUCUUGAUCUUUCUUUGACCUCCUAACCCUCUAGUCAAAAGAGAAGUGACUCUCUUGAACUUGAUAACUGCUUCUCUUGUUUCAACCAGUAGGGAUUUAGGAUCACUGGUUUGUUGUGACAAGAGAUUCAAGACUCCAUGACAGCUUUCCACUGCUUCUUUGUUUGCAGCUUCAACUUCCUCCAUUUUUUUCUUCCACACACACAAGCUUCAGAGCUAUAAAAUUCAAUCAAAUCAAAUGUGUCAGAAGCUUCCAAAGAUCUAGAACUCAAACCCUAAAAACUAUUGUAAAAGGAAAAGCAAAUCAUCAUGACUCAUGAGCACAGCCAAAACAUUGAAACCCUGAAAUGGAUUAAAGGGAGAGAUCUUUCCCAUACAGAUUAAGAAGAAGGAUGAGGAAGGAAUCACCCAGAAGUUAAAGUGUUCUAAAAGCAAAUAUUUUUUUUUUCUUAUCUAACUGUAAGAAGAAACAAAUACAAGCUUAGGGACUUGCCUUCUACGUCUGAGAGGAAGAAGUUCUUUCACAAAUAUUCCCUUAGCCCCAUUAAAAUACAAAUCUUUUCUUCUGCUUUGUCAAUAUGAAUUAAAAUAUAAAAAUGAAAAAAGAAAAGAAUAGAGAAGAGACAGUGGAGUGGAGUUGGGUCUUUGAGAGUUGGUCGUCGCAGUCACAGGGGAAGGAAAGAAAAAAACAGAGUCCUCUCUAAAAGAUUUUCUUGGUAGGUCCCAAUACUGGACCUACUUUGCAUCUACUCGUUUGUAGUUACGUUUUUUCUUUUCCUAAAUAAAGCUUAGAUCAAAGUUCAAACAUAUAUUUUUAUAAGCAUUUUGUAGCAUGAUUUUUCAUCUUUCAUGUUUAUAUAAAUGAUAAAAAUAUUUAAAAAUAAUUAAUGUAUAGUGAUAAUCAAUGUAUUUUAAUUAUUAGUUUCUGCAUAAUGUAUAAGAGAUUGAUGCCAUUUUUAUAGUCCUGCGUGGAAAGUAUUCUAAAAUUUAAAUAAAAUAAAAAUAGGAAACUGUCGUUAAUUGGCCCCACGUUCCAGCUAUGUAUUCUUUAGAAUCUCGGGCAUGCAACUUGGACAAAUGACGGCUAGUAUUACGACACCUGUCCAUAUGUUCCUGUCUUCAUCGUAACACGUGUAACUGGAAUGUUGACUGAACAUGAACUGUUGUCUGUUUCUUGUCUUAUCUUGAAAAUGGAAACUUUCUUGCAUAAAUCUUGUAAUUUAUUUGAUUUUUAGAGUAGGUUAUUCAAUUUAAAACAGUGUAGACUUAAAAGUGUUACAUAAAUAAAAUAUAUAAAUAAAAACAACACUAAAAUAGCUAAAACUAAAACUGUAAAUAAACCAAAAGAAAACUACAGGGACUAACACCAAAUGCGUUGGUGACCAUAGGAAAUGCGAGACUGGAAAUUAAUCCCUCUAAGACCAUGUUCAUUACUAGUCCUAGUUACAGUAUCUAAAGAACUUUCAGUAGCAAAACGAAGAGCCAGUACAAAAUCAGCGCAGGAAGUUAACCCAUAUCUUAACUUAUUUUAGAUAAAAAAAAUAAUUAAGUUAAUAUUAUCCAGCCAAUUACUAAAAAUUGGAAAAAAAAACGCAUAUACAUAAAAUUAAUUCUAGAAUAAGAGCGCUAGAUGGUAAUGAUGUGCAGACCACCACCGGAUGUUUUUCCGCAUUUAUCGAACGAGACAUGUCUCGCACAAUAUACACAAAACAUACGGUGAACACAUUGUUGAGGCCAUUUUUUGGUUCCAACACAAAUUACAGAUGAUUGAUUUGGCUCUUUGUCGCCCAUAAAAAAAGAGCAAAAUUAAAAUUAAAAAAAAAAACUGGACCCAAACCGAAACAAGAGUCACAGAGUUGACCUGGCAAAGAUUCUCUUUGCUUCUCGUCAAGUAGCAAUGAACUGAUUGUUUCUUCAGACGACAGUAUUGAAAAUAAAUUUUAUUUUGUUCGUUAAUACUCUGUAGUUUCGAUUUUGUUCAUCCGUUAGUAAAUAAAUAUACUUAUAACUACGAUUUGAGAUACUAGUUUUCGUAAACUAUAAAGUCUAUUUUAGAAAUUCAACUUUUGUAUUGUCGGAAGCAAUAUUUUAUGUAUUAUAGUCGUUGUCUUUGUCGUCGUAUGUUCGUCCUCUACUCGUUAGAUCAAGUAGCCAUGGCCGAUUCGUUUUCGUCAAUUUUCACACCUACAAAGCCACUAUCAUCAUCACACUAGCUAGAUUGGCCAACUCCACCUCCUUAUUAUUAUUAUUAUUAUUAUUAUUAUUUUAGUACAUAGAGCAUCCAAUAAGGAUCUCGAAACCGUCGAAAACAUUAGGAGCAAAAGCCAAAGAGCAAAUCGAUUAUUUGGUUGACAAUAAUCUUUCUGACGCAUGAAGCUUUUCCUUUACUCUUUUUAAAUUUGGAUAUCGUAUCAAGCCCACGAUGCAUAUCUUAUCGCCAUUCCUUUCUUCGAUUUUACUCCUAUCCAAUCAUGCACAUGUAACAUAUGUAUCCGUCAUCCAUGUGCCACUUUAACAAUCACAUGUCCCGUAUUGUUAAAUCAACUGGAUUUAGUUAGAAAAGAAAAAUAUAAUAACCAAGCUAGGUUAUCCGAUUAGGACGACGUUUAUAUAUGUAUAUCUGGGAAGAUUCGAUAUACACUUCAUAAAAUCAUUAAGGUACGAUGUUAGUACUUAGUGAUAUAUCAUAUAUGUUACAACUUACAUGUAUGGAACUUUGUUAGAUAUAUAAAUAAAACGUUCUCUUAAAGUCUCUUUUUCGUUUAAAUCUGAGCGUACUAAAAGUCUAAAAUGAUAUAUAGGAUGAUUGCAAAGCUAAUAAAUAAUUGUCGACAUAAAAUAUGAUUUUACUACCAUCGUCCACUUUGGUAGUGACCUUUGGUUCCACAUCCACUAUGAAAUGUGAAUAUGAUCCCCAAGACAAAAUCAUUGAGCCAUUUUAUAAUAUAUACACACUACCAGUCUACCAUAUAAAUAUUGCAUUCGUAGAUAAUGGUAAAAUACCCAGUCUGCAAAAAAGUAUGUCUAACUUUUCUGUUUUCUUGCAGAAUUUUCAAAAGAAUCAGUUAUAUAAUCAAUUUAAACUAAACCACGCCUGUUAUUGUGAUUAUGAUUUGACUUCGGUGCCAUAUGACAAAUGACAAAUUCCUAAGCCACUACAAAUUGCUUUUGAAAUAUUUUAAUUCUAUAAUGAACCAAAAGUUUGUUUAUUAUAUUGCUUACAGCUUUAGAGGUUGAUACAUAAGUAAGUUUUGAGUAUUUUGUUUGGGCUUCAUAGCGCAAGCUGAUGAAGUACAAUCCAAAGGGGAAGUCGUCUUGAUUCCACUUGAGUUUUCGCAGCAUUGAUUUAGUUGUUAACAAAGAGAUAUCAUAGUAAGGCUCAUUCAUCCAAAAAACGACGUCUACAAAUAAAUUAGUAACCAAAACCUCAAUGCCUAUUUCCGACUCUUUAAUGAGUGAACGAUACUUUCCAUAAAUUUUUCUUUUAGGCUACUUCGGUUUAGCUUCUAAACUUAAUUGUGAAAGUUUAACAUUAUUAUAAAGUAAGGUAACAUAUCUUUUUGAAAAAUUAAUAGAUCUAAUUUACCAAAAAAAAUUUAAUAGAUCUAGGUCUGAGAAUUCGCAUAUAUCUUAAUAAGACGAAAUUCAAACCACUAUUAAAUUAACAUUUUAGAAGAAUAAGACUUCAAAUGGAGAAAACGGAUCAAGCGUUGUGGAUCUAGCGGAUCAAGCGGACCGAGCGGAACAAGUGUGGAUCAAGCGGAUCGAACGGUUCAAGUGUGGAUCUAGCGGAUCUAGCGGUUUAAAAUAUAUGAUUGAAUGGUGAAAGUGGAUAAAAAGUGAUCCAAAAUACUGUAGUAAUUUAAAUUAAUCUAUAUAAAAUUUUAUAAUAUUUAUUUUCAUAAUUAAAAAGUAAUAUUUUAAAAAUACUUUAUAAAUGAAACAUAUAAUUUUUUUUCAAAAUAUACUAAAAAAUAUUUUUAAAGAUACAAUUUUAUAUUACUAAUUAUUUUUCAUAAUUCAAAUUAGUUAUUGUAAUAAUUUUUUUAUAAAUUGAAUUAGUAAAAUUUAUUCAAAAUAUAAUUAAAAAUAGUUUAAAAAUAAAUUUAACUAUUUACAGUUUUAAAUUGAUUUUGGAUGAUUUUAAAAUAAUUAUAACUGUAGUAAAAUAGUAUUCUAUUAGCAUAGUAAAACUACUUAAUGGUUUCUAUAAUAAUAUCAACAUAAAUAUUAUAAAUCUUAAUAUUUAAUAGAUAACACAUAUUCUACUUCAAAUAGAAUUUGACUUAUUAAAAAAAUUUAAAAAUGAUAAAAGUUGAAAAUGUAAAAUUUGAAAACUAUAAAUAAACUGUAAUAUUAUUAUAUUAAAUUAAAAUUUUACAUGAUAAAUAUGAUGUAAAUAUUAAAACUAAAUGGUGUAUUUAAUGUAGUACAAAUUAGAAGAUAAAGAACUAUAAUAUUAUGUUUGUAUAUGAUAUAAAAAGUUUUAUCAUAAAAAUAUUAAGAUAGAAUAAUAACUUAAAACAAGUUUUACAAACAAAAAAGUGUAUGAAACACUCAUUUUAGCAUGUGUAUUGCAUAUCAAAUGGUUCCUCUACUUUUUUCACAAAAAGACAAAUAUAUUUGUACUGCUUGUGGUUCCUUCGUCUUUUCUAAUUAAUUAAUAUGUAAAAUUUUGUGAAUGGAAAAUUAUAAGAUGGAGACUACACAUUAGUAUAUGAUCUAUCUUUGCUCCACUCCCCAUUCUCAACCUUGGUAAUUGGAGUGGUUCAAUAGCAGUUUUUUUUUUUGCAACUUUAUUUCAUUUUAAAUUUAAUAAUUUAUUAAACAAAUUUUUACAAGUUAUUUUUCAUACAGUUGUUGUUUUCUAUUAAUAUUUAAGCGAUUUUACAAAGUAUUAUACUUUCUUAAUAUUAUAAAAUUUCUUAGACAAUAGACUAAAAAUAAAAAAUAGGUCAAUAAUUAAUUCAAAAACAGUCAUCAAAGUGUAUUAUACUUUAUUAAUACUAUAUAAAACCGAAGUGUCCAUCCCUAUAAAUUACGUAUAUGCUUAAUUUAAAAUUAAAAAGAUUAUCUAUAUAUAUAUAUAUAUUAUUUUAUUAUAUUUUAAAUAAAAUAAAUAUUUACAGUAUUUAUAAAUUAUUAUUAUUCAAAAAUAUAAUUAAAAAUAGUUUAAAAUAUAUAUAACUAUUUACAAUUUCAAAAAUUUACUUUGGAUGAUUUUAAAAUAAUUAUAACUGUAGUAAAAUAGUAUUCUAUUACCAUAGUAAAACUACUUAAUGGUUUCUAUAAUAAUAUCAACAUAAAUAAUAUAAAUCUUAAUAUUUAAUAACACAUAUUCUACUUCAAACAGAAUUUGACUUUUAAAAAAAAUUAAAAAUGAUAAAAGUUGAAAAUGUAUAAUUUGAAAACUAUAAAUAAACUGUAAUAUUAUUAUAUUAAAUUAAAAAAUCACAUGAUAAAUAUGAUGUAAAUAUUAAAACUAAAUGGUGUAUUUAAUGUAGUACAAAUUAGAAGAUAAAGAACUAUAAUAUUAUGUUUGAAUAUGAUAUAAAAAGUUUUAUCAUAAAAAUAUUGAGAUAAAAUAAUAACUUAAAACAAGUUUUACAAACAAAAAAGUGUAUGAAACAUUCAUUUUAGCAUGUGUAUUGCAUAUCAAGUGGUUCCUCCACUUUUUUUCACAAAAAGACAAAUAUAUUUGUACUACUUAUGGUUCCUCCAUUUUUUCUAAUUAAUAUGUAAAAUUUUGUGAAUGAGAAAUUAUAAGAUGGAGACUACGCAUUAGUGUAUGAUCCACCUUUGCUCCACUCCCCAUUCUCAACCUAAAUCAUUAUCAACAGGAAUUGAUCUUUGAUCCUUUAUAUACUUAAUAAAUUAUCUAAGACCAUGAUUAACCUGGAGUUCUUAGAGUGGGAUUCUUAAUUAGAGCAUCCGCAAUGGGAAUCCUUAAGAGGAAGUUCUUAGGGAAAAAUAAUUAAAUAAUCGGUGGAUCUUACCAAAAACUAAGGAUUUAAUCCUUAAAAUUUCUAAAUAAGGACUCUUUCUUAGUGAAUCUUUGCACUAUUUGCGGAUCCCGACGACAUGUGGCGAUCCGCGAUUGGUUGAUAUUUAUUUAUUUUAUCUAAAAAAGAAAAAAAUAAUAAUAAUACUUAAAAAAUUAAAAUACACUUUUUCUAAGGAAUUCUCUUUGGAUAACACCAUUGUGGAUGCUCUUAGCGGAAGUUAAAAAAACUGUUUCUUAACUUUUAACUAAAAAAGCUAAGAACCGGUUCUUAUAGUUCUUAUUUAAGAACCGGUUCUUAACUUUUUUAGUUAAAAGUUAAAAGACAGUUUCUUAACUUCCACUAAGAACUUCAUCCUAAGAAUCCCGGUUAAUCAUACUCUUAGAGUUUUAAUUACUAGACCACUUUUUCGUUGUUUUUAAUAGUUAGAAAACUUUAACUCGGUACCGAUAGCCAUGUUCUUUUAAUGGUCGUUGCAGCCAGCUGUAGCGUCAACAAAAAUCACUAUGACAAAGGCAAACUGAACGGGUUUUGAAAACUAAAUCUGACGCCAACAAGUUGACGGAGACACAAUUAGCAGAAGUCGCUAACGCUGCUACCUUUUUCAGAGUCAGAUUUAUUAUUUAUUUUUGCCGCAGCGACUGAGAAAACAAAUCGGUUUUGUCCCGCCAGCAGUGUAUUUUUUUUUGUCAUUGAUGAUUCAGAAAUGUUGCAUCCAAAGGGAUGUGAUAAUAAGCGAAAUAAAACCAAAAACAAAGUGGAAGCUAGUAGGCCCCAAAAAGCAAACCCAAACUGUUGGGAAAAUAAGAAAUCAUAGAGCAGGCUUCCAAACUCAGAACCGAGCCUUAUCCUGCUAAUAUUAAUCAGCAACAGAGUAACCUUAAGUUGCCUCCUGCAACAGAACAGCAGACAGCCAAUGAGGUCCACCAAAAGCAACAUAUGAUUGCAGACGUUGGUCCUUUGUGACACUAUCCGCUAUUGCAGAGGCUGCAAUGUUACAUGUUUCAGGAAUUAGAAACAAACUGCUCUUAGCCAGUGAGUAAACGUUAUUUAUUAGCCAGCAGUGUAUUUACCAUGGAAAUAUGUGUAAUUUUUGAACGCUAGUGCUGGUGCUGGUUGCAGCGUUUGCAAAAAGAACAGGGCUAAUAUCUUGCUAACAUGUAACAACAGCAAUAGAUAUAGUUUUACAAGUGUUUUGACUUGGGUUUAACUCAUAAAGCACGGGUAAAUUAAAAAGAAAGAAGAUCUAGGUUAUGUUCGCUUAACAUAUUACAUAAAGAAAAUAAUAAAAAGAACCGAUUGAUCCACAUUUUCCUCUUAAUUUCCAUAAACAAAACAAAAAUAAUGGAUGUCUUUUUUAGUUCGGUUUUCAAAUUACCUCAUCGCCCUUUAGGGUUUACAAUUUGAGAAAAUAUCCCACUGCUUUCCUCGGAAGACAAGUCACUCACGUCAUGUUCUCCGGCGCCGCCGACGUUAACCGCCAUACCACCACCUUCUCCAGCUAAAUCCUCGGACUCACCUCCACGGCUAGGCGUUGGUUGUCGCGACCCAUCAGCAGUUUCUUGUAACUGAAGCGCAAACUCAAGAUUCCACAAAACAUCUCCCAUCGUCGGCCGAUCUAAACCACUAUCCGAAAGACACUUCUCCGCCGUGUCCGCAAACUUCUUCAAACAUUCAGGAUUAAUCUUCCCUUUCAGAUUAGGAUCAAUGAUAUCCUCUAACGUCCCUUUCUUUUUACAGUUCGUCGCCCAGUCACCAAGACUCACUUGCUCCUUAGGCAAGCUAGGGUUUAAAGCCGGUCUAGCACAUAAGAUCUCAAACAAAACAACUCCAAAAGAGUACACAUCUGACUUCUCGGUUAACUGCUGUCUCCUAAAGUACUCUGGAUCUAAGUAACCGAAGCUUCCUUUGACUACGGUCGUGACAUGACCUUGGUUCAUGUUCGGUCCGGUUUUGGAUAAACCAAAGUCGGAGACCUUCGCAACCCAAUUCUCAUCGAGUAAGAUGUUCGUUGUCUUCACGUCACGGUGUAUGAUCGUAUACUUUGCACCUGUGUCAGUGCCAGCUCAACAUGUUAGUAGACCC
This 79923-nucleotide long non-coding RNA is filed under the name Brassica napus (rape). RNAcentral's name for it is "long non-coding RNA (BNAP_LNC001689)". The stretch from base 78054 to 78179 matches the Rfam family "MIR9563 microRNA precursor family". Lineage: Eukaryota; Viridiplantae; Streptophyta; Magnoliopsida; Brassicales; Brassicaceae. The record is from RNAcentral.